Molecule: long non-coding RNA, 84480 nt
Filed under: Malus domestica (apple)
Lineage: Eukaryota; Viridiplantae; Streptophyta; Magnoliopsida; Rosales; Rosaceae
Description: long non-coding RNA (MDOM_LNC009200)
Source: RNAcentral
AACUCCUGAAAUCCGAAACCCCAGUUUUGAGUACUGUUCAUGCACACGUGAAAUGUUGAUUUUCAGGGAAUUCUAAGCUUACAGGGAGCUUAGUGAGGUCCCAAGGAAGCUCGGAGUACUUAAUUUGAAGGUUUUGGACGUCGGGAUCAUAGGGUUUGAAGUUGGUCGGUUUUCUUGGAUUUUCUCCGGUGAGAUUUCGUGUGUUUUUUAGCCUUAAAUUAGUAUAACGUGAUUCUACAUGCUUAGGGCUUCAUUUGAUGUAAAAUGCGUAAAAAAUGGUUGAGAAUUGACGGAGAAAAUGGAGUUUGAAAAAUCUCCAGUUUUCCGACGCUGGCGAAACCAGUCCGGCGACUGGAGGUAGGGACGACGCGCGUGGGGGCGCGUAGGUCCGUACCAUUCCUGGCGCGUGGCAAGUCAAAAAAAAUUUCUAAAAAUUUUUGUGAUGAUCUUGAGGUUGUGUAGAUCACUGUGGUAUAUUCAUAUACCCAAAUUGAGCAUCGUAUGAGAAGUUAUUACGUAUUGUUGGUUAUAUGCUUUAAAUAACGUUUUUAUAGUUGUUUUGCAUAUAGGUGAGACCUAUCCCGAGGACAAGCGUGUUCAAGGGCGUCACGAGGGUUACGACCCUUCGACAUACAAGUGAGUGGGCAGUUAUUUUUUGUUUAUACCUAUAUACUACUGAUUUUCCCAGAAAUUGAAUAUAAAUGAAAUUAUGUUUUAAAAUGCCGUGCAUGCAUAUUAUAUGAAAUAUAUGAGUUAGUAUUUGAUGCAUAUAUGUGAAAUGGUGUUGUGGACGCACAUGUGAGUAUUAGGUGAGUUUUAUGUUCAUAUGGUUUAUUGAUGAUGUGAAUUGUGUUGAGAGCUCAUAACCUACACCCUUGGUGUUAGUGUUUAUAUUAUUCACCCUGCACCACACGCUCACCUUGGAUCCAAGUAGGUACAUGUCGUACAGAUCACUAGAGAUGAUUCCGACAUGUCGUACAGACCAUUAGAGGUGGUUCCGACUUGUAGGUGACUUUAGAUUAUUAUACAGUUGUUGAUGAGAGAAGCACUAGAGCGUAUUCUUACACCAUUCUUGUCGUACAGACUACUUCAGGUAGUUCCGAUUUAUGUGCAGAGUAGUGCCGUAUAGGUCACUGUGGUGACUCCGGUUGGUUGGAUAUUGAGCUAUAGAAUUAACCAUACAUGACAGCUGCAGGGUCUCCAGUUGAUUCAUUAUUUCACCUGUUUUAUUGAUGCAUCCUUAUCAUGUUUUAAUUCAUGGCAUGGCAUAUUCUUGAAAAGUGUUAAAGACUUGUGAUUUGAGUUUUGUUGUGAUAUAUGAUUAUGUAUAUACUAUUUUUCUGGGAAAGUAUACAAGUUUUACAGUGAAGGGUUAGAAGUGUUGUUAAAUGAAAUAUUUUUGAAAAGCUUUGUUUUACUGACCCACUCAAUCUUGUUUUGCGCCCCUCUAGGUUCUAGUUAGCAGUGUUGGAGGCUCACGAGGAUUCCCACGACAUUCUGACAGACUACUUAAAUGUAGGACUCACCUUCAGGUGUUGUAAUUUAGUUAUGGUCCUACUUGACUACACUUAGUAUUUAUGCUCUGAAUAUGUGUGUUUCACACUUAAAACUUACUCUAGCAUGUUAGUUGGAUAUUAUUGCUAGUAGUUGGUUUUUAUUCCUUUGUAUUUCUUUUAUCCUUUGCUUUCGCAUCGCACUUUUGGUUACGUCACGCCCACGUGACGGCCAGCAUACCUUGAUUCUAGGAUCGGGGUGUGUCAUCCACCAUCUUUGCUAGAUAAAUUAGAAAAUUUAACUUUAAGUGCAAAUAAUAAUAUUAGAAGACCUAAGCUAAAUCCUUUUGAUAAUAGAAAGUGGAAUUCUUUAGGAAAAAAGGAAUAGAAGUAGUUAGAGCUAAGAUAUUUAUCCAAAUAAAGAAGAAGCACAAGAAUUUACUCGAAGAGGUUUUGAGAGAACACAGAAAAAUAAAUAUAACUUGUAUCAAUUAGGUUUAUUUGAAAACAGAAGUAAAAUUGUAAGUAGCAUCAGUCAACAUGAAGUUAGCCGUAAUGAUAAAGAAGUCACACUUAAUCUAAUUAGUAAAGAAGCAGUUACUCAUUUGAAAAAAUCACAUUUUAGUCAAAUUCAUAUAGAAAAAAUAUUAAUUGGAAUAACAUGAUUAACUAGAGCACAAGUAGGCACAAAAGCAUUAGUAUACAUAUAUGAUGAUAGAUGGGAUAAUCACCAACAAGCAACAAUAACAACAACUGAAGUAGACUUAAGUUCAAACUUAGCAGUUAUAGGUUGUGUUCCAAAUUUUGUUAUGACGAUUAAUGAAUUUAGUAAAUAUAUUAAAGUGAGCAUAAGAACAAAAAAUUAUAAUAUGAAAGGAGUAUAAAAAUUUGUGUAUUAGCUUAAUAUAUAUAGGUAAAGUGUCUGAUAGAUAUAAUCAUAAGUUUAAUUUAGAGUUUCAAAAUUUAGUUCAAACAUUUGAUAGUACACAUGUAAAUAUGAUAGAAGCAAAACCCGUAAAUAAUAAUUUUUUAGAAGGAACUCAGUGGACAUUGCUUAAUUUACAAGUAACAACAAAUAUACAACCAGAUAAAGUAUAAAUAUAUGAAACUAAUACAUGUCAAGCAACAAUUAGGUUUAGUAAUUAUAAGCAACUAGAAAAAAUAGAAGAGGAUGAGAGUAUACAUAUGCCUUUUGAUAAUUUAGAUAUUAAUUUAGUUGAGCAAAAUUUUGAUCAUAUUGUAGAUAAUCUUAUAGAAGAUAUUGAUCAUUUAGAUGAAGAACAAUAUUUGGAAAAAUAUAAUCUAGGACAACAUAGAAUUUCAGAUGAAGAGAAGAAAAAAAUUAAUCUUAGAAAUAGGAGUAAAACAUAUUUUAGGAUCAAAAGAAUAUAAUAAUUUAUUAGAAUUGAAAGCAGAAUGUAAUCCAGCAAAAGAAAGUAGUACAUCAGGAGUAGAAAAUCCAGGACACGCAAGUAGAACUGAUCAACAAUUUUUAAGACUAACUAAUGAACAAUAUAAUGAAAAAGCAAAAGUAGAUUAUAUAGAAGAAAGUAUGAUAAAACCUAGAAAAAAUAGGAUUCCAUAUUUGAGAGGGUUAGGACAAAGUAAUAUAGCUGGUAAUAUAUUAAAUUUAGAUAGUGUGGAUCCACAAGAUUGAGAAAGAACGAUUGAGAGAUGGGAAAAAGGCUGCGUACAUGCAACAUUAAUGUUAGAUUUUAGUAAUUCACAAAAUAUGUUAUUACUUUGAGUAUACUUUGGAUGGUUUAGUUUUUUAUUAUUUCUAGUCAUGGAAAGUCCAAAAUCCAGAACAACAUCAGGCAGCUAAAACACAUUUGUGAUUUACAGAGGCGAACAAGAGUUUUUAGAUCAUAAUAGGUUAGAUGGCAGAGGCGAACAAGAACAAAUAAGAGCAAUUAGAAAUUUAGAACAAUUACAAAUUUGUGAUUUACAGUAUAUAGCUGAGUAUACCACAUAUUUGUUUAAAUAUUUAGGAAGAACAUGUAGAAUUAGUGAUAUUAAUUUAUUAGAUACUUACAUGACAAAAAUAAAAGGACCAAUAGGAGUAAAGAUUUGGAAUGAAUGGCAAAAGCACCCAAAGAAAAUUGAUAUUGCAAUAGGACCUAGAAUUCAACAUUUGUAUGAUAUACUUAGAUAAGAGUGUAGUCAAAUAAAAGCUAAGAGACAAAUUAGGAAGCAAUUUUACAUGAGUUGUAAAAAUAUAGAUUUACCACAACAGUAUGGUUGUCAUAAGAAAAAUAAGCAUAAGAAAAUAUACAAAAAGAAAUAUAAGUCAUAUAAACACUACAAACAACAUAAGAAUUUCAGUAUAAGACUUUCAAGAACAUAUAGGAAAAGAAAAUAUAUUCCAAAACAAUUUAGAAAAAGAAAUGGCAGACCUUGGAUUAGAAAAUAUAAAGCGCCAAAAGAUAAUAGUUGUAAAUGUUAUUCAAGUGGAGAAGCUGGACAUAUUAGACCUAAAUGUCCAAAAUUAGGUAAACAGUCAAAAGAAAAAGUACAUUUGAUGGAGUUGUUUAAGUUAGAAGAAGAUUAGAAUAUUCAGUCAAUAUACAGUUUAGAUGAUUUAAGUGAUAAUGAGAGUAUUUAUAGUAUAGAGAGUAUUAACAUGAUAGAUUCGGACUCGGAUUCAAGUAGCACAAAUAGUGAUCUAGAAGAGUAUAUGUGUGCAUUCAUAGAAGAACAUCAUGAAGAAGAAUAUAAAUACAUUAAUUUAGGUUGGCCAGAAAAAUGUCAUAAGUGUAGUAAAUUAGUUGUAAAUAAAUACUAUAAUACAUAUUCAAUAUUAUGUGAAAAGUGUUAUAAUAAUAGGUUAUUAGAAGUUAAUUCAGCAGAAUCACAAGAAAGUAAUGAAAUAUUAGGAAAUAUUGUUCAUAGUAUAGAAAAACCAAAAAAUAGUUCUUUAAUUAUCAUAUAUUGUGAAAUAGAAUUAGCAAAAGAACAUAAGAUACAAACAACAGCUAUGAUAGAUACAGGGAGUACAAAGAGUGUCAUAAGAGAAGAGUUAGUACCAAAAAAAUAUAGAUAAAAAUUAGCAAAACUAGUGAGAAUAACACAAUUUGAUGAGAGACCAGUUUACUUAACACAUUAUAUAAAUAAUGAUUUAUUAAAGUAGAAAAACAACAAUUUAAUUUACCAUUAACAUUUGUUUAACAAGUAGGAUCAUAUCCAUUCAUUUUAUGUUUCAACUUUUUGAAAAGUUUACAAGGUUUUUUAUUUAUGAACUCUAACAUAACAUUUUUCAAAAGAGACAUUACAAUAACUGACCAAAGUAAUAUUGUAGAAGCAUACAAAAGCAUAAGUAUAGAAUAGUCUAGUGACCAAGAUAGUUAUCAUUUAGAAAACUCAAAAGAAAAUGAUAAGCAUAAUAACGUAGAAGAAUUUGAUGACGACAUAUUUGAACAUGAAUAUCCGAUUUUAGAAUAAGGAAAUCGUAUAGAAAUACUACAGUUGAGUAAACCAAGGAGUUUAGAAGAAUUAUUACAAUUAGCAGAACAAACUAGAAUUAUAGGAGAAGACCUACAGUUACAUUGGAGUAAAAAUAAAAUACUAGCAAAAUUAGAUAUAAUUAACCCAGAUUUAACCAUUAAGACGACUGAUAUACCCUGUAGUUUAAUAGAUAAACAAGAGCUUGAGCAGCAAAUACAAGAGUUGUUAAAUUUAAAAGUAAUUAGACCAUCUAAGUCUAGACAUAGAUCAGUAACAUUUAUUGUGAGAAAACAUUCAGAAUUAAAGAGAGGUAAGGCUAGAAUAGUUUAUAAUUACAAGAGAUUAAAUGAUAAUACAUAUGAAGAUAGUUAUAAGUUACCAAAUAAGGAUGAGUUUAUAAAUAAAAUUCAAGAGAGUAAAUAUUUUAACAAAUUUGAUUGUAAAUCGGGAUUUUGGCAAAUACGAUUAGUGGAAGAAUCAAUUGAGUUGACAACUUUUACUUGUCUAGAAGGACAAUUUGAGUGGCUAGUUAUGCCAUUUGGACUUAAAAAUGCUCCUUCAAUCUUUGAAAGAAAGAUGGAUCAAAUUUUCAAAAUAUAUGAUAAUUUUUGUAGUGUUUAUGUAGAUGAUAUUUUAGUACAUAGUAAAAAUAAAAAUGAACAUAGGAAACAUUUAGAGAUAGUAUUACAAGAAUUUAUCAAUAAUGGAAUUGUGAUUAGCAAAAAUAAUAGCAUUAGAAAAGUAAGAUAUAGAAUUUUUAGGAAUGUAUAUCAAGUCAAGUACAAUACAAUUACAAGAUCAUAUAGCUAAAAAUGUGUUAGAAUUUCCAGACAAAUUAGAAGAUAAGAAAUAGUUACAAGCAUUUUUCGGAUUGUUAAAUUAUGCAAGAAAUUUUAUCCCUAAUUUAGGAAGAAAAAUAGCAGUAUUAAAUAGUAAAACUAGCAAAACAAGACAAAAAUAUUUUAAUAGUGAAGAUAUAAAAUUAGUUCAAAAUAUAAAGGAAGAAAUUACUCAAUUUAAACCAUUAACAUUACCAUUAGAUGAUAGUUACAAGAUAGUUGAAACAGAUGCUUCAUCAUUAGGAUGGGCAUGUAUACUAUACCAGAAAAAACAUAAGGAGUCACCAAAGUCUGACUAACAAGUUUGUAGAUAAUCGUCAGGAAAAUUUAGUGAUGUACUAUCAAGAUUACCAUCAAUAGAUUUAGAAAUUUUAGGGAUAAUUAAUUCACUUGAAGUAUUUUCUUUAUUUUUACAUAAUGAAGUAUUUACGAUUAGAACAUAUUGUCAAAAUAUAGUUUCUCAUUAUAACAAGAUACAUGCUAAUAAACAGGCAGCCCGAAGAUGGGUUAAUUUUGUUGAUUCAAUUACAGGAAAUGGUUUUAAACUAAUUUUUGAACAUAUAAAAGGUAAUGACAAUACAUUGCCGAUAUCUUAUCAAGAUUAAUUUAUUGAACAUGUAUGAAAUAUCGUGGACUAUCAUCCUCAAAUAGCUUAAGACCACAAGGCAGAAGAGCAUCUUUCAGUAGCAUAAUGAUGCACCAUCAACCUCCACCAUUUAGUGGAUUCCAAAAUAGCAUAAGCAGACCAACAUCACCACCAGUACCUACUUUCAACUUUAAUGGCAAGAGCACCAGGGCUUUCUGAUAUGCAACAUGUUCUUUUAGAUAAUUUUUGGAAUAUCCAAAUCAAGCAGCCAAGCAUGAGGUUAGGUCAUGAAAAAUUAAUUAUAGCCUUGGAACAAGAGUUUGAUAGUUUUAAUUUUAAUUUACAUCAAAGCCAGCAUCAUAUUCAUUCUCUUGAGCACAACCUUCAAGUCCUCUUUAGGGACCAUGAGUCAUUACUUGGUAAGUUUACCAAAAUGAACCAAGAACUCCAAUCUCUUAGAAUGCAGCAAAAGGCAAGUGACACCUUGAAAAGAGAAUUGAAGAUAGGUUUAGAAAUUGAUCAGCAUAAGUAUAAAGGAAAAGAGGUUAUUAAACCCAUAGAACAAGAGGCUAAUGAGCCCGUAGAAGAAAUUAAGAUUGAGCUCUUAGAAAAAGACAUUGAAAUGGAGCAACAUCAAAAUAAUGAGCAGCAUUAGAUUCUGAGUGACAAAGAAAAACAAGAAAAAUAUGAAAGUUUUCUUAGGAAUAUAUCUUAAGACUUAAUAUUAGAUGAUAUUUUAUUAGAAGAAAUUUCAAAAGCAAAAUUGAGAAUAAUCCACCAGAUAUGCAAAAUGAGAUCUUGAGCAGAGCAUCAUAGUCUAUGAAGGAGUUACAAUUACAAUUAGAAUGUGCUUUGUAUCAGUCCAUCUUUGAUCCAAAACCAGAGAUAGAUAUUAUUACAAAGAUGUAUCCACCAUGUCUUUGUGAUAGUACAAAGAAUUGUAUUUGUAAGCCAGAGGUUAACAUAACUGUGGCCAUGAUUAACAUGAGAGAUUUUAGACCAUGGCAUUUUAGUUAUGAGCAUCAGAAAAAAUAUAAUGUGGUAGAAGUUACCCCUGCCUUACUAUUAAAGUUAGGCUAUCUUGAUAAAAUAUUCAUUAACCAUAUUUCCCAAUUAGAAUCAUUUCCUGAAAAGCUUAUAAAAGUAGCAGAAGAUUAUCUAGAAAAGUGGAAAGAAAUUUGCAUAAGUUUAUUAGUAGCCCUCCAGAUUGGUAUGUACAUAUGCAUAAGGAGAAAGCUAGGCAUAGCCAUGAUUAAUGAAGAGUCCUUUAGACUAUCCCCUAUCUCUCCACACAAGUGGACUCCUUCAUACAGAAGUUCUAAAAUUUCGAGGGAUCCAAAUGUUUGUCUUAGAUGAGUUUGAAGACUUUAGGUAUGAUAUGGUAUUAGUAGCAAAAGAAGAAGAAAGGUAUAUUUACAGCAAGACAAGGAUCAGUUAUCAGCUCUAUUGGAAGCCUUAAAAUUUCAAAGAAGAAACAGCAGAAAUGUACUACAGGGUGAAAGAAAAUAGAGAAAGAGAUGCUGAGCUGGUAGAAGAAGAUGAACAGUACUGGAACAAUUUGACAGAAGAAGAGCUGCAUAACAUCGACAACAUGAUGGAAGCAUGAGAAGAUGGUAGCAAAAUAGUAUAAGUUGAAUAGCAUCAUGUAAAAUAAUGUAUUUCUAGACGGAAAUGUCAACAUCAUUGUGGACCCCACUAUAAUAAUAAAAAUGGCAUAAGAGUAAGUAAAGAAAACAGUUUGAUCCAUUAUGGACUUUUCAUACACAAAAUGUCCUUUUGAUUAAGAAUGAAUAGUGCCAAACCCUUUUCGUUAAAACUCCAUUUGAAAAAUCCUUCCAUGUAAAACAAGUUUUCCUAAUCCACUAGAAAACUAUCAUCUUGUUCUCCUCCAUUGAAGAUGACCUAUCUAGUGUUUUAGUAGGGUGUGUGAAAAGGUGGGGUAGGAGAAAGAAUAGAGCUUUGCCGUCAAACAAUGCACAAAGUUCUUUUGUUUUUAAUCGAGUGUAAUGUGUUAAAAUAAGUUACUAAGAAUCUCAACCGAUUGAUUAAUCUAACAGCUACGAUAAAUUAGUCCCUCACGAGACAUCAAAAAGUGGUCCUUAGGAGAGCAUCCUUGAUUAAACCUAAACCACGAUAAUUGAGCUUUGUAGUUGGCCGUCAAUCAAAAUUGUUUGAACCAUAGAAAUGUGUAGUUGUGGUUUUGGGUGUAAUUUGAUUAGAUCAAGUAUGUUGUGAAAGGGCAUAAGCUUUUCUUUACUUUAUAUACUCUUUUAAUGUUUUAUUUGAUAUGCAUGCAAAUUAGAGUAGUUGGGUUCAACACCAAAUAGGGAGACACAGUUUUAUUUGAUUAAAAAAGUAAUUAAAAUCAAUCAAUCUCUCUAGACUGAGAUCCAACACUAGGCUUAUGCUUGAUCAAAUCAAAUGUUCAUAAUCAUCUAAGGCCCUAAGGCAACUAUAUAAGUGGCCAUAAGGCAACUAUAUAAGUCCAUCAUAGAAUGCAAAGCUUUCAUUAGUAGUACUAUAUACUCUCGCUUCAAAAUCCAUUUUACAUAAAUAAGGGGAGUAUCAUGAUAGGGAUUUUACCACUUGAAAAAGUAGGGAUAAAAACACUUUAAAAUACUUGCGAGAUUACAAGGUUAUCGUAGUAUAGCAGCUCAAGCAAGGUCGAUCUCCACAUGGAUUGAAUGAAUAAUUUAUGCUAAAACCAAAUCUUAAUUAACUAUUUGAAAACAAAGUUUGGAAGAGGGUGGUUUUAUGACCUAAAAUAUUAAAAACGAAUUUAAUUAAAAACAAUUAAAUAAAUUAGCAACAUAAUAAAAAAGCAAAAGAAAAUAGUUUUGAAAAUAAAUUUGAGCACUAGGGUUCCGCCGUCACCUUAACAAUCCUACGCAGUUUUUCCAAUUACUUAUGAAUUACACAUGCAUAUUUGAAGGUUAGGUUUUCCUAAAGUAUACCCUACUUGGAACCUACAACAUAGAACGUAUAUCUAACAUGCAACCCGUCCGUGGCGUCCAGAUCGAAUGUGAACAUGCAAAACUCAUUCAGUUUUGUGAAAUCCUUUUGAAAAACUAUACAACCCUUAAGACGUGUCGUCCAUCCUAAGAAGUUACACAUAUUAAUCACAAGAAGCCAGCGCCAAUUUCAGCGACAACCCUCCGCCAAAAUUGUAUGAAAUUACUUUUCUAAAUACCCUAAUGGUGGCCAAUCAUCAAGACAAUUAGAUAGUUUAAAGUACAGUAAUUAAUAAUUCAAAACUUUCAUGCAUAAUAUCAUAAGUAAAUUGAAAAGAAACUACAUAUUCUUGCUAAGGCUUGUGGCCUCGCCCUAGCAAACAAAACUAGUUACGAACAAUCAUAAAACAAAAUAUUAUUAAAGACAUGGAUAGAAAACACCUUGAAAAUAAACUUGAAUCCUCCAAAGUAGUGUGUGCGUUUUCCUCCUUUUUCCCCCUUUAACCUAAUGGCUAAAUAUCUUACUUAUACUAAUACAAAAUAAAACCCUAAAAGGUCUUAGAAUAAAACUAGGAAACAUAAUAAAAUAAUAAAACAGAAAAUAAAUGGUUUCCUAUUUAAACUGAAAUUCGGACUUCUCAGAAAAUAAAUCUUUUGACCGACCACAUCAACUCCAAUUUGGUCCCAAAAGAUCUCUUUUAAAAGCUGAAGAAGUCCCCUACAAAUCCUCAAAAGGAAUCUUAAUCAAAAUAUGCUCUCUUGACCUUUCAAAUACCCAAAACGUCUAGUAACGUCAAUCUGGGAAAGCUGUGCGCUAAGCCUUAAUUUCAUCACCACGGUCAAACGGCUAAGUAGAAAAAUUUGAAACUUUGACACAAUCAUCUUAAAAGACUCACAAACAUCCUCCAAUUAGAAUCACUCCAAAAUUCAUCCGUUUGGUUACUUUUUGCUCCAGAGGAAGUCGAAUGUCCUAUGUUAAAAAUAUAAAGCAAAAUAUCAAAAUCAUACCAAAAUAACCAAUAAAUUAUUACUAAUAUUAGGAUAAAAUAUAUAAUAAAAUAUUGACUCAUCAUAUCAUAUGCUACUAAAUCAAUCACAUCGCCCAAUAGUUGUGAUAGGACCAAAUUGUUUUAAUGCGAUUAAAAUGCAAGCUUAUAUGUGGUGAGACAAAAAACCCUCAACCAAACUAAAAGUAAGUUGACAAACGUGAAGGUGCUUUGAACACUCUUUGGUUGCCUUCCACCAUCGGUAGCCCUCUUACGAAGGUUAGAUGGUGCAUAGUGCUUCACCCAAUGAUGGGGAACACAUGGUAUCACACUUACUGAAAGAGUCUACUAUUAUACAUUUGAUGUUGUGAAGGUAGGCAACAGUUAUGGCCAAUAUGAUAUUAUUCUUAGGUCAUUCUCGAACCCCUAUAGAAACUAGCAUGGUGAAAAUGACUUAACUAAGUGAAACAAUGCCAAUAUGAUAUUAUUUUGAGGCAUAUAUUCUCUAGAUGCCAAAUAAGAUGGAUACUUAGAAGAGAUGUAAUGAGCAAGAGUUACUCUCUCAUUAUUAUUAAUGAUAGCCAAUAAGAUAUUAUUCUGAGGCGGGCUUAGUAAUGGUGAGCCUACCAUACCCUACUAAGAGUUUCCUCCAAAACUCUCAAAUUCCAAGUGAGGGAUAUGGAAUUUGCCAAAAUAGUGAGCAGUGCUAUUUUAUUUAACCCCUAUACCCUGCUAAGAGUUUCCUCCAAAACUCUCAAAUUCCAAUUAAGGGAUAUGAAAUUUUCCAAAAUAGUGGGCAAUGCUAUUUUAUUUAAACCUAGAUCAAAUGGCUUAAAUCAAUCAAUUUAUAUUCAUUAUGUAAUUGUUUACCGAUAUAUUUGCAAACGCUAUCCAAAACUUGACAAAGAAAAGCCGAAGACUAAUGUUUCCUAACUUGGUAUAACCAUCCCAUAAAUUGUCUUGAAAGGAUUGUAAAUGUACUCAAGUAGUCUCAUUCUCACCAUCUUUAUAGUGAUAAUGUAUCUAUGGAAGAACAUGUUAGAUAUAUCUAAUAUAAGGUGUUAAAUAAUUAAGUGUUGAAGUGUUAAAUAAUUAACUUCAUAAAAACCAUCACAAUGAUAUUUGUUAGAUAUAUCUAACAUAAGAUGUUAAAUAAUUAAGUGUUGAAAUGUUAAAUAAUUAACAUCAUAACACCAUCACAAUGAUAUUCAUAUAAUAACAAACUCCUUCACUCCAAUAUAUAUGUGACGAAAUGCAAUAUUUAUCCAUAAUAGAAACAUCCUAUGCCAACACCAAGAGUUAAAUAAUUAACUUCAUAAACACCAUCACAAUGAUAUCCAUCAAGGAUAUCAAUUCAUAAUUCAAUAAUAUAGUAUAAGCAAAUUACUCAAUCAAUAAUAGAAACAUAAGUACACGAAUUUAUCAAUGUAAGUAAAUAAUUAACUUAUAUCGUUCUACUUAAUUAUUAAUCUCUAAAUCCCCUACCUUGACUCCAGACAAGCUAAAAUAUCUUCCUUAGCUUUCCCAAGCUCUAAGGCACCGACGAGUCUAAAGCUGAACGUUAGAGUAAAAGGACAUGACAAACAAACCAAACAUUUAUGUUGAGAGAUGAAAUGUGAGAGACAAGUUGUCCUACAUUGGUGAAGGACAAAAUUUGCUAUGGGCUUAUAUGGUCUUUGGUUACUCCCCAUAUUGCCAAUUGGUUUAAUGGUGGAAUCGCAAUUUCAUCAUGCUAUCAGAGCAGGUUAUUUCUCGUGUGAAAGCUCAAGGCCCACACGUGCUCAUGCAUCAUCCAGUUGUUGUUCACGUGUAGGUUUAAAAAUCGGCCACACGUGCGAGGGCAUGUUGAGAGUUGAAAUGUGAGAGACAAGUUGUCCCACGUCGGUGAGGGAUAAAGUUUGCUAUAGGCUUAUAUGAUCUUGGGCUACUUCUUAUAUUGUCAAUUGGCUUAAUGGUGGAACCCCAAUUUCAUUAAUUUAGUAGUAAGAUAAAAUCACUUUUCAACUUCCCUAACAAAAAGAAACUGCAGAAAACAAAAGUUUGUUUUAGUUUGUGGACACAAAACGAGCAGCUUUUUUCCUAAUCAAAUCUCGGUGAAAAUUUAUGAAUUUAUACUCGUUUUAAAGCUUCAAGAAGAAUCUUUCCAACGCUGUAAAGUUUGUAAAAGCCGAGCUCCGAAGUUGAGAGAUAAGUUCGGAAUUCGACCUUUCCUUAUACGCGAGUCAUGGACAGAAGUCAUGAGUUAAAACAGAAGUAUGUGCAGAAAAAGAAAAAUUGCACCAGUUCACGGGUUCAAAGACACCUUUUUGAACAUGGUUUUGACUCGUCACAUCUCAAUGAAAAUCUACGGGUAAAUACUGGAUUUAAAGCUUAUGAUUCUGUUUAGGUCCAAAACAUUAUUUUGGGCUAAAGGUAACAAAUGGGCCGAGACUUUUGACCCAACGGUUGUAACAGGGAUCAUGGGCCGACUGGGUAUUGGGAGUUAUCAAGACCUUUGUCGAUCGAGUCCCUUUGUGAGAAUGAUUGAUUUAGAUGAAUCCUUGAACCUCGAAGAGUGUUAAAGCUAAGGGCAAUAAGGAACACAGAAAGAAUCUGGUUCAUUGUGGAGAUGUGUUCAAAGUCAUAAUUAAAGUAGGCUUGGCCAAGUCUUAGUUAGAUCAGGAUGAGGAGUCCUAGUCCGGGUAAGGUUCUAACUCAGCCGGAAGUAGGUUCGCUACUAUAAAUACAGAGGAUGAACACAUAUUCAGGCCUCUCCAAUUCAACACACAAACUGCCCUGCGCAAACCCUCGUUCUACGCGAAACUUCUCAACAACCUUGAGAUGUUUAGUUUCUUUUUCGCCAACACAUCUUCAGUUUGGAUAAACAGCACUGAGAAUGCAAUCGGUGAACAUUUUCAGUUUAGAUAUCAGCAUUGUGAAGGCAACUGGUGAACAUAUUCAGUUUGGAUAAACAGCACUGCCAUUAUAGAAUCAGCUAACCGCGAAGCACCUUCAGUUUGGAGAAACAACAUUGCGUCAAGGCCGACUGAUUAUCUAUCCAAGUCUCGGUCGAGAAGGGUUUUCGAAUCCUUUUUGGCAGAGGUCAUCUCACGAGCCUUCUCGAUGAACUGAGGUGUUACGAAUCACUACACUUGGCUCAUUGAACGCUGAGUGGUUUUAUGAUUAGAUACUCACAAGUUGGGUUUAGAGUUCGGCAUUCUGACGGCCGAACCACAUUUAUGAUUAAGACGUACAUUUGUUUUGAAUAUUUGUGUCCAUAUAGUUUGGUGUCGAUUCGGCGUGCUUAUACUCUUAUAAAUAUAAUCACCGUGACUGAAUCCGACACCGACGAUUUGUGAACUUCGCAGAACUAGCAGCAUUGUCUUCAGGCUCUGGAACCCGAAGGCCGAGGCGUGUUCCUUCCUUGGCCGCAAUCACAAGAUCGAGAAGUUAGCAGCGCAUGCGACGCAACAUCAACAUAUUUUAAUCCUUAGUCGAACUCGGCCAACGAGUUAGCAUGCCCGUAUACAACCGAAGGACGUAGUUAGCUCAUUAGUUACUUGGCCUGCGCGCCACGUAGGCUUGGUAGUUUUUAGGGUAAAAAUUUUGGCACGCCCAGUCGGACCGAGUGCUAAAACUACGAAGUUCAUGAUCGUCGAAACACGAACGGCUAAAAAGAAAACAAUCAUGGGACAAGAAGUGUUACUUGCACAAAAUCCUCUUAUUGCUGUGACACUGGAGGCUGCAAGUGUGACACACCGAGAAAAGGAAGUUUGUCUCGGUACCCAGCCUCGGAAUAUAGAAGUCCCCAACAGAACCGCAAGUGUUUUCAUUGAAGAGAUAAUGGAGGAUUGCGACGAAGAUGGUGGUGAAGGCUCUGACCCUCCAACUAGAUCGUUUAUUCGAAGACUACUUGAUGAGCAAUCUCGGCAUGUUGAACAGACAAUUAUCCAAAAAAUGAACAGUUUACUCACGGUGAUAUGAAGUAAUGGUGAUACACACACCAAAUUACUCGAAUUAUUAGUUAGCAGAGUCUUCGAAAGGGGGUUGCUGGUCAGUCCUGCCAGCUUCCACUCAAAAGUUUCGCUACAGGCCGAAACAGGAUCUACUCGGCUCAAAACGAUUAACUUAGAAAAAAGAGGAGGAUCAAGUAGUAGAUCAGAUGGAUCCAAUCAGAGAGUGGAGGCAAGAUGGGUCGAUAUGAUCGAAGUCCAAAGAAAGAUCGAUUCGACCUUAAAAAAGGGGCUAAAGUUCCCGAAAUUCAUCCAUCCAUACCCAACUUAUGUAGAAAAGUUCGAAUAUCAUAAAGGCUUUAAGAUCCCAGAUUUCAGCCUUUUUGCUGGAGAAUCGUCCCUAUCCUCAUUUGAACAUGUGGCCCGGUUCACUGCGCAGUGUGGAGAUGUCAAUAGUGACUUCCAUAAACUGCGACUAUUCAAAUUUUCAUUGACGGGCUCGACAUUCGCAUGGUACAUCAACCUUCCACCUAGUUCUAUCCAAAGUUGGGAGGAAUUGGUCGAGAAAUUCAACGAGCAAUUCUAUUGCCCGGGGAUGGAAAAUGUCAGUUUCUUCAUUGGCUAGGAUGACUCAAACGUCUGAUGAGUCACCAAUGAAGUACCUUACAAGGUUUAAAUCGGCCAAGAAUUGGUGCAGAGUCCCUUUACCCGAAGUCGAAUUUGUUAGGCUUGCUUUGAAUGGGCUAGACGUGGAGUACAAAAAGAAAUUCCUAGGGGCAAAAUUCCGAGAUAUGUACGAACUGGCCCAACACGUUGAGCAAUAUGAUUAUUUGCUCCGAGAGGAAAAGAUCUCGAAGUCUCCAUACUGGGGAACGAUUUAUAAAAAUCCUAUGGUGAACUACGUAUCAGCCGAAGGUGAGGAUCCCCAAUAUGUUAGUGUGGACGUGGCCGAGAUAUUGUCAGGUAAAUCGUACAUUUGCAAGGCAUUGCUCACAUUAACUCCAAGGAUGCUAAAACCCGCUCGGUUGCUGAAGAGACGGUUAAAACAUCAAAAGUUUACACUUUUGAUAUCACCAAGGCCGAUGCAAUCUUCGACCAAUUGCUGAUGGCAAAGAUCAUCAAACUUUGGCUAGAACAUAACAUUCCUAAGGCCGAAGAGUUGAAAGGAAAGACGUAUUGCAAAUACCAUAAUUCGAAUAAGCAUACCAUAAACAACUGCGUUGUGUUUUGUAAUGCUAUUCAAAGUUGGAUUGAUACAGGCAAGUUAAAAUUUCCUGAGAAAAAGAUGACUGUCGACGUUGAUCCUUUUCCUUCGACAACAAUUGGCAUGGUAGAUGCUCAUUUGCCCAAAAAUAAAGGGAAAGGGAAGGCCGAGUUUGUUCCAAUACAACACGUCCUAAAGCAGAACUCUUGGUCGUGACUCAAGAUUGAUCUAUUUUCAAACGAGCCACCUAUAGAGUUUUUAGGACUGGCCAUAGUCGAAUCCAUGUCAGACAGCAGUGCAAAAGAAGCUAAGGGACCGAUGGUUUUAUGUAGCCGUUGUAAAGCAUGCGUCAUCCUAACUGAGCUAAAGGUGAAACUACCUCAGGCUUUGACACCACGACUACCAUCCAAAGUCGCGGCAACAUCUUCAAAGAAACUCGGCGGAGGCCAACGCCAGAAGGUGUUCGAUAGGCUUAGCCCUCAAACACGAACGGACGCCCCCCUUCAGCUAGACGGCGUCUUGAUUUUGACGUGCCAUUUUAUAAUGAGGAUUAUUACUCACGUAACUCCACAGCUCGAGUUCAUCGGCGAAUCAGAAAACCCUCAAGCCACCUAAACCACGCGACCAAGGUUGGUAUAGUUACAAUUCUAUUACUUGCAUGUAUAUUGCAUUAUCUAAAUCUCAGAAACAUCGAUGCCAGUGGAUAGACUGCAUAGCUUGACGACAGGCAGCACAAGCCACUUCGGCUACCAAAUCGCAGCCGAAAGAAGCAGCAGGAAGCGAAAAUUAUCAACAAACCCCAACAAUCAUGGCCGAAUUACUUCAAGGGAAAAAGGUAAUUGAUUGUGAAUUUUAAACCACCAUUGAAGAAUCCGAGAAGCGAAUCAAACUCCUCAUUCGGCCUAGGGAAAUGAAAGCUCGUUUUGAGCAUUUCAGACAAGAAGCCGAAAAUAAGCUUCCCUUACUACCCCAGCAAGAGCCGUUGAUAAGAGUCUGACGAAAUUUACAUUCUCCAUUCCUCGGAGAAUCCUUGGAGUACAUGUGAGAGUUUCACAAGACACAUUCUGCCAAUGACUUGUAUGGCCUACCCAAGGCAUCGCAAGAAGCCCUCGACCUGGAACUCACUUGCCCUGAUGUUGAACAGAUUAUUCAGAAAACUACUGACCGAGCAAUGAAGGCCAGGUUCUAGCACAUACGAGAAGCUCGGUUCUUCUGCUUCGAGGUUGACCCGUAUACGGACAUAGACACCGCCGAGCUCCCUUUAUUUUUCAAAGACCUUCAGUACUUACGACAUCAUUUCGAAGUCUUCUCAGCCGUAUCUCUUUUUGGCCUUACGGCCGAUGAGAAGGAUCGUGUGGCAUGUUUGGAUGCCUACCUAGACACAAGGAACGCUCGAAUCACCUAUGAAGAAUGACCCUGUAAAGCACUGCAAGGAAAAAACCAAGCCCCAGCAAUGAUCGAGCUCGAAGAUGAUAGCCAGAAUGAAACAGGUUUAGUUGACAUACCACAAGAGCAAGUACCCGAUAAGGUGAGAGAUGACCAGGUCGAGGAAGCCCAAAAGCAUGAUACCGUACUCGAUAACCCAGCGGACGACGACCAAGACUCGAUGGGCCAUUCAGUCAUCGACAAUAUGGAAAUCAGCAUGGUCCAUGUCCUAUCGGCUGAAUUUCAACCAACUACACCCCAACCAAAUUCCUUGGAUGGGGAUGUGGUUGCCGAUGAAGCAACACAAGUUGAUUUCAUCGCUACCGAAGGCCAUAAGCAAGCGAGUGAAGCUGACAAACUUAAAGCAACUUUGGCCACACUGUUUCCCCGCUCUUUUUCGGUUAAUCUUUAACAUUUGAAGCCGUUGUACGUCACGGCUCAUAUUGAAGGUUAUCCAAUCUUUAAAAUCUUCGUUGAUUGUGGGGCUACGGUUAAUAUCAUGCCAGUAUCCAUCAUGAAUGCACUACGACGGUCCAACAACGAACUCAUCCCAUCAGGAAUAACUAUUAGUAGCUUCGUCGGUGACAAGUCUCAGACCAAAGAAGUGCUUCCUUUGGAGGUGAGCGUGGCAGGUCGCAAUCACAUGACCGUAUUCUUUUUUGUCGACUCUAAGAUCGAGUACAAUGCAUUGCUUGGUCGAGAUUGGAUCCAUCAAACAAACUGCAUACCCUCUUCACUAUAUCAGGUUCUCAUUUUUUGGGACAGUAAAUCUGUUGUGGUGCAUCUGACCAACAAUCAACCUUUUGAAGCCAAUAUGAUUCAAGCACGGUAUUAUGAUGAUCACGUUGGCUACAUUACCCUACAAGGUUUGAACGAGGAAGGACGACCGACUCGAAUUUCAGUAUAGAAAGCAAUCGAGAUAGGCGUGGAGACUGAUUGGCCGAUUGAUCACAUAUAUUAAUGUCUGACGACCGUGAGGACAGAUGACAGGCCGUGGUUUCUUCUACCAUGGAACAACUGCUGGCCCAUUGGUAUAUUAUCUCCAAACAACCAAAUUCGAGUGUCAACUUAGUCGAAAUUUUGGUCGAAUGAGACAAUGGCCCAGUAUUUUCACUCGAUAAAGUUCAGGUUGCACCAGUCGAGCUUGAGGAUUGUCAACCUCAAGUCAAGGAUCAUUUAGAGGAAAUCAAUGUUGGAAUGGCCGAAGACCCACGGCCUUUGUUCAUUAGUGCAUUAUUACCUCAACAUGUAAAAAUCAAGCUUUGUAACUAGCUUAGAGAAUUUCAGGAUUUUUUUGCUUGGAGUUAUACCAUGAGAUGCCUGGUUUAGAUCGCACACUAGUCGAACAUGAAUUGCACAUCAAACUUGGGUGUAAACCAUUCCGCCAACCACCUCGACGAUUCUCAACUGAAAUACAACUCGACAUAAAAGAUGAACUCGUUCGACAUUUAAAAGCUGGGUUUAUUCAAAUAGCUCGAUAUGUAGAAUGGCUGGCAAACAUCGUCCCCGUUUUAAAGAAAAGUGGUGCCCUGCACAUCUGUAUUGAUUUUCGAAAUUUAAACUUGGCAACUCCUAAAGAUGAGUAUCCUUUAUGGAUGGACAAGCUGGUUAUAACCAGAUUUUCAUCGCCAAGGCUGAUGUUCAUAAAACUGCUUUUCGUUGCCCGGGAGCACUCGGCAUAUACGGAUGGGUCGUCAUGCCAUUCAGCCUCAAGAAUGCUGACGCCACAUAUCAACGAGCCAUGAAUACUAUUUUCCAUGAUUUGAUUGGUACCAUUGUCGAAGUCUACAUCAACGAUGUUGUAAUCAAAUCAAAACAUCAACGGACACAUCUGGAUGACCUUCGUCAGGCUUUCCUGCGUAUGUGCCAACACAACCUUAAGAUGAAUCCUGCCAAAUGUGCUUUCGGCGUAUUAGCCGGUAAUUUUUUAGGAUUCCUUGUACAUCAUCGUGGUAUUGAGGUAGACGAAAGAAAGGCUUGAGCAACCAUCAACGCUCCACCCCUGAUGACUAAGAAACAACUAUAGUCAUUGUUUGGCAAGAUUAACUUUCUCCGUCGAUUCAUUGCCAAUUCGGCAGGGAAAAUGAAAGCAUUCUCCACGCUCUUGAAACUUAAUUAUUUUGACACCUUCGAAUGGCAUGCAGAACAUCAGGAGGCAUUUACGCAAAUCAAGGUCUCCCUCACAACUCCACGCGUCCUGGUUCCGCCACGAUGUGGCAGACCUUUUAAGUUGUACAUUUUGGCAGCUGAAGAAUCCAUCUGAUGCCUUCUUGCACAAGACAAUGAUGCUAGGCAAGAACAAGCCAUUUUUUAUCUUAGCCAAAAUCUCAACCCACCAGAAAUUAAUUAUUCUGCUGUCGAGAAGCUUUGCCUCACUUUAUUUUUCGCUGCAUCAAAAUUCAGACAUUACAUGCUCCCAUCAGUCACUCAGGUCAUCGCCCAGACCGAUGUCAUUCAUUACAUGCUCACUCGGUUGAUAGUAAAAAGCCGAAUCGACAAGUGGAAAAUGGCACUGUUCGAAUUUAGUUUGCAAUAUGUGCCUUAAAAAGCUUUCAAAGGCCAACCGUUGGCUGAUUUCUUGCCCCAACAUCCCUCGUGGUAUAAGUUUGGGGCAAUGACGUUGAAAUCGGCAUGGUGGAAUCACGUCAUAAUUACUGGAUGAUGUAAUUUGAUGGAUGUAGUACUUCAAUCUCGGUUGGCAUUGGGAUCAUUAUUCAAUCCCCAAAUCACAGCCGCUGGUAUUUUUCUCUCAAGCUCGAUUUUGAUUGGAUGAAUAAUUAGGCUGAAUACGAAGCCCUUGUCAUCGAUCUCGGUGUCUUACAUGAUUUGCGGGCCACUCAAGUCCUUAUUCUCGAUGAUUCUAAACUUGUGAUUAAUCAUCUUAAUGAGACCUUUUGUUGCAUGAGUUGUACUUUGGCACCCUAUCACAUGGUUGCUAGCUAUUUGGUCGAAUCUUUUGACGGUGUUACUUUCAAACACAUUUCAUGAGUUUUCAACACCGACACCGAUGAAUUAGCUCAAAUAGCCUCCGGAGUACAACUUAUGGGGGGCAAACUAGGUUGAGAAAUACCUGUGUCAUGACAAGCACACUCGGCCUUGGUUAAUCAGCAAGUUAUCCAACGUGAUUACGUGAUCCGUACACGAGUCAUGUCUUUACCGUCGUUGGUAGAACGGAAUGACCCUAUAGAGGUUUGUGUUGUCGAGGCAUUACCAGAUGAUUGGAGAAGGGUGAUUAUUGGAUAUCUCGAUAACCCAGGUGAAAAACACGACCGACGUACAAGGGUCCAUUCCACAAACUAUGUAUUAUACCAAAAUGAGUUAUAUCGAAAAGGUGAGGAUGGGCUAUUGUUGUUAUGCCUCGGCCCACAAGAAGCUGCUCAAGCAAUGGUAGAAGUACACGAAGGAAUUUGUGGGGCUCAUCAAGCUGGACGAAAGAUGUGUUGGCUACUUCGAUGACACGGUUAUUUCUGGCCAAGCAUUCUGAAAGAUUGUAUCGAGUACACAAAGGGAUAUGUGCAGUGUCAAAUUCAUGGGCCUAUACAGAGGGUUUCGGCCGAAUCACUUCAUUUGGUCACUAAACCAUGGCCGUUCAGAGGAUGGGCCAUGGAUGGAAUCGGUAAAAUUGCACCAUCUUCUAGGAUAAAAAAACAUGCGUAGAUACUUGUUACGACGAAUUACUUCACCAAAUGGGUCGAAGCCAAGUCAUAUGCCGAGUUAACAUCUAAAGAAGUUUGUAAUUUUGUAGAAGAAAACAUCGUCACUAGAUUCGGCGUACUAGAAACAAUCAUAAUAGAUAAUGGUACAAUCUUUACAUCUGGCAAGUUUUAGGAGUACAUGGAAAAUCUAAAAAUUCGGCUCGAGCAGUCUACGCCGUAUCACCCGCAGGCGAAUAGACAGGUCAAAGCAAGUAAUAAGGUUUUAAUCGGUAUUCUUGAGAAAAUGGUAAAAGAAAGGCCUAGUAUGUGGCAUUUAAAGUUAAAUGAAGCAUUGUGGGCUUAUCGAAUUUCACUCCGAUUGGCAACCGGAACGACUCCGUACGCGUUAACCUAUGACCACGAAGCUAUGUUACCAAUUAAACAAAGUAGCUUGUUUAGUGCCGAGUACAGUCAUGCUAUGCGGCAAGAGUUAAAAGAUUUGGAAAAAAAAUGGUUUGAUGCUUACAAUUUAUUGAUGGCACAGAAAAAGAUUACCGAGCUAACUUAUAAUCAGCGAGUCAGACAAAAAACAUUCGAAGAGGGUGAGUUAGUUUGGCAAACUGUGUUGCCCGUGGGAAUUAAAGACCGCAGGUUCGGCAAAUGGUUGUCGAAUUGGGAAGGACCGUUAAUUGUUCACAAAGUUCUCGGCAAGGGGGCAUACCACCUCAAGGAUUGAAUUGGUUUAAUUCACAAGUUACCAAUCAACGGGAAAUUUUUUAAGAAAUAUUAUCUAGUCACUUGGGAGAUGUGAGAAUAAAAGAUCAUUUCAUUGAUUUUGUAAAGAAACGUCCAAGUGAAGUUACAAAAGAUUCCUAGACCAAAAUCCUAAGGGGUCGAAGGACAGAAGGCUUCAAGAGCGGCCUUCAGUUCCAACCACCUUACAUCACCCAUGGUGACUUCGGCUUUUCUCACCCUUCGGGAUUGGACAAUGCAGUGCCUUUAUGCAUUCAAUAUCCCAUGACAGCUCAAGGAAAGACCGAGGAAUUCGAGUUGAAGUCCAGUUUGUUGCAUCAUAUUCCCAAGUACCAUGGGUUGUCCAUGGAGGAUCCAAACAAGCAUUUAAAGGAAUUUGAAGUGGUUUGUUCAAGCAUGACCCCAGUUAACGUCGAUGGAAGCAUAUUGAAGAUGAAAGCUUUUCCAUUCUCUCUAUUGGAAAAAGCUAAGGAUUGGUUAUACGAAUUAGCUUCUUGGGAGAGCAUGAAAAGAGCAUUCUUAGAGAAGUUCUUUCCAACAUCAAGAAUCAUUCUUUUAAGGAAGUGGAUUAGUGGCAUUUAACAAAAUCAAGGAGAAUCCUUUCCAGCGUACUAUGAACGUUUCAAGACUCUUGUUGCAUCAUGUCCCCAACAUCAAAUGAAAGAAGAAUUUCUCAUUCAAUAUUUCUACGAAUGACUUCUUCCCAUUGAAUGACAAAUGCUAGAUGCCUCAGUAGGUGGUGUGUUGGUUGACAAAACAUUGUUGCCAAGACUUUAAUUGCCAACCGCGCCUUGAAUGCACAACAAUAUGAAGGAGUUGGACAAAGGGAGCCCCCACGGCAACAACAUGUGAAUGAGGUAAGUGCAAUUUCUGAAAUUCAAUCUCAAUUGGCUAAUCUCACUCUUCUUGUGUCAUAGGUUGUUGACAAACCCAAAGUGCAAGAAAAUACAAUCUGUGGCGUGUGUUCCAUGCAAGGACACCAAUCUGAAAAGUGCCCUCAAUUGAUCGAGAAUGGAGGAUGGGAAAGGGCAAACGUUAUUGGAUUCCAACGCCAAAAUCAGCCCAAAUAUGAUCCAUACGUAAACACGUACAAUCCGGGCUGGAGAGAUCAUCCAAAUAUGAAGUGGAGGGAGCCUCAUCAACCUCAACAAGAAGGAUUUUGGCCACCACCCCUUGGGAUGUUUCCAAGGUCAUACGCAACAACACAACCCCAACCACAAUUUGCCCAACAAAAAUCAGGUUCGUCCAUGGAUAAUGAUCAAAUUGUUCAAUUAUUAACCACUAUGGUGUAAGGAAUGCAAAAUCAAGCCAAAAAGAUGGAUGAGUUGGAUAAGCAAAUAGGGCAAAUGGAGGAAUUCAUGGGUCAAUUCAGAGAGCAAGGUAGAUUGCCUAUUUCAACCGUUAUCAACCCGAAGGGAGGAUUUAAAACCGCCAAGGCAAUCACGUUGAGAAGUGGAAGAGAAGUUGGAAUUAACCCAAAACCAUCCAAAUCAAGCCAAAGGAGGAUGAGAAACUGCAAUUCGAGGAAGAAGAACAAGAUAAAGCCACGACAUAGAUUAAACAACCUUUGUCGCAGCCCCCUAAACCUUCCAAUUCGGCCAAUUUAGGUAAGGUUGGUUCAAAUUCGGUUAAUUCUAACCCUAUUCCACCCAAUGUAACUUUCCCUCGCAGAUUAAUGCAAACACAGAAGGAAGAGAGUGAUAAGGACAUUCUUGAGACAUUUAGGAAGGUAUAAGUCAAUAUCCCGCUCAUGGAUACAAUCAAACAAAUUCCGAAGUAUGCUAAGUUUUUUAAGAAGCUUUGUACAACAAGGAAACGGAUUCGAGAUAAAGAGGUGUUUCUCACUGUUUUUAAGUGAUUUUUCAUUGAUUUUUGUGGGUUUUAUCACCUAUCCCCUCUAGAGUUGUUUCUCACUGUUUUUAAGUGAUUUUAGUGUGUUUUGAAGUGUUUUAGUAUGUUUUGAAAGAAAAAUACGAAAAUUUGAAAAAAAAUUAGAAAAAGUUUUGAAAAACAAACCAAAAAGAGUCGUUUUUGUGUGUUUGUGUCUUAGGGUAGCUUUCAACACAAUGAUGAGGAUUUGGUUUUUAAUUACAUGACUGUUAACGAAAGUUACAAACAUGGGUGUAAGUUUGAUAUGCUCUUUGGUUAAUACUUGGUUGUAGUUGAUGUUUAUGAAUUCACAUGUAAUCACAAAGAAAAAAAAUCAGUUUUUGUAACAUGCUUGAAGAAAGGAACUCAAACUAACGCUACAACCCUGGGAGACUUGAGACUAAACGUUGUUUGGAGAGUUAUUAAUCUGAGAUUUCUUGUUUUCUAAAGUCUUUGCAUGAUUUCAUUGUUUUUUUUGCUUGGUUGCUACUUGGAAUGCGUUUUCAUCAUUAUAGUUCCAAAUACUAGAACUCAUGCCUGUUUCAUUCAAAGCUUAAAAUUGAGUGCAUAAUAUAUAACAAGAUGAAGUUGUUUAGUAGUUACCACCAGAGCCAAAAAGCCUUCAUUCCAUGCAUUUGUUUUUGCAGGUUUAACCCAUUUGAGCCUUAUUUAGCCUAUUUUCUUUGUUAGCCAUAUUAUCCCUACCUAGCCUAGAAUAGGACUAUCCAUACCCUUGUUCUUGAAAUAUAGUGGAGCAUGACUUAGAGGGAAUUCCUUUUGAGCAACAUUAUUGCAAAAAAAUAUGUGUGGGGGAAGGUUAUUUCCAAAGAAAGAAAAAAAGAAAAGAAAAAAAAUCGUGAAAAAGAAAAAGAAAAAGAAAGAAAAAGAGUUCUAAAUAAGUGAGAAUGAGCUCACAAGUUUUCGUGGUUGAAAAAAGGGUCCAAAAGUUUGAAUCUGGCCCUAAGUGUUUUGUGAAUCUUCCCUUUGUGCUUAAAGUGGAUUUUUGCAUUCAAAUGUGAAUUCUAAGUGUCAAUUUCAUUACUUUGCUUACUAUUGCUUUAAGAACCUUUGUUUAUCCUUUCCCUUUCCUUGUUAGCCAAUACCCUUAGCCCCAUUACAAUCCUUUGACUUCUAUCUUGAUGUUGUGUGUUCAAUAAUGUGGAGGUUGAGAUUGGUAUGAGUAUAUGGAAUCCCUGGUUCUUGCUUCUAAGUAGUAGCAUUCCGUUCAUGAGAUCAUAUAUACAUAUAUAUAUAUAUAUAUAUACACACACACAUGUAUUAAUAAUUCCAAAAAUUGCCUUCUUUGUUUAAAACAUAUGUGAGUACUAGUCUACAUGUUUACAUCAAUCUUCUCACAUAUACCUAGUAUAGGGAGUGCAGAAAAUCUGUGUGAAAAUAGAGAGUAUAUCCGGUGAGAAAUUGAGGGAAUUCUCUAAGGCAUGUUACUACAUUCAAAAUGUUGUUUUAAUUGAUUAAAUGCGAGCUAGUAAGUGGUGACUGCAAUUAAGUAUGCGCUCGAGGGUAAGGAUGGCUAAAAUCUAUGUGAGUGGUGAUCUUUGGCAUGUCAUGUUUCAUUGGAAAUCCCUGAGGCAGAUGUUGGAAGGUCUAGGUUAUGUUUGGUUUGUUUCGUUUUGCUCGAGGACUAGCAAAAGCUAAGUGUGGGGGAAUUUGAUAGGAGCAUAUUUAUGCGACUUAGUUAGCUUGUUUUCUUGCAUUUAUGUUGUUAGAUCAUAAUUAUUUUAGUAUUUUAAGCUAUUUUCGUGUGUUUGUAGGUCCAAAGAGCUAAAGUGGCAAGAAAGUGUAUUUUGGUGCCUUUUGGAGCAUUUUUGGGUCAAUAAUGGAUGGCACAUGCAUGGAGCAAGGUGGAUGGAUGAAAUUGAAGACUAAAGAGGCUAGGAAUGUGUUAAAGAGAAAGAAGAAUUAAUUUAAAGAAGAUAAGGAGCUCAGCAAGAAAAGAGGAAACAUUAGUCAAGUUACCUUAUUUUGUUUCAGCACUUUCCUAAUCCUAAUCCAACUAAGUUUCAGUUGAAAGGAGGGUUCCCAAAUAUAUUAGGACACUUAAUAUUAGGUUCUAGAAGACCUAAUCCCAGCCACAAAAGGAUGCCGCACCAAUGCCCUAUAGAAACCCUUUCACUUGCACAGCAAGGGAUUCCCUUUUCCCUUUUUCCUUGCCGCAUCCUACAUUCCCUAUUCUUCUUGGAUUCUGACAUUUAUUUACCCUUUUUCCUUGAGGAUUUGGUGUACAAAUCUGUCUCCAAAAUUAAUUAGGGCUAAGAUUCUCUUACCCUAUUAUUUAUACUUUGUGCCGCACAAAAGGGACCCCAUCCACUCUCUCCACCAUUCAACCACAUUCCAUACACAUUCUGCCGCAACCAUCCCAUCCUUCAUCACCCAUUCACCAAACACAAUAUACACCAUUCAAACCUUCACCCAAACCUUGUGCCGUAGCAAAGAAGGAGGAAGACCCUUAGACGUGCUUGCUAGUCAAGUUGGAUUACUGGAACAUUCUUAGGUGUAAUUGAUAGGAGCAUAUUUAUCCGACUUAGUUAGCUUGUUUUCUUGCAUUUAUGUUGUUAGUUCUUACUUAUUAUAGUGUUUUAAGCUAUUUUCGUGUGUUUGUAGGUCUAAUUAUCAAAGUUGGCAAGAAAGUGCAUUUUGAAGCAUUUUAGAGCACUUUUGGGCAUUAAAUGGAUAACAUACGUGGGGAGCACUUUGGAUGGACGUUUUUGAAGCUCAAAAGGCUAGGAAUCUAAUAAGGAGAUGAAGAAAUUAAAUUCAAGACAAAAAAGAUAAGGAAUCAGCUCAAAAGAAUGAACAUUAUCCAAAACCUUAUCCAACCUUAUCUUAUCCAAACUAACCUUAUCUUAUCUUAUCCUAUUCUAAUCUCAUCAUACCUUAAAUCAAGCUGCAAGGGGACCUAAAUAUCUAUUUCUAGAGCUAUUUCUAGAAGCAUUCCCUUCAAGAAGUCUUAAUUUCUGCCACAAAGCACAUUGUUUCUAGAAACCCUACAAAAAUGGCGCAUAUUCCCUUCUAGAAAGCUGUUGUCUUGCCUUGCACUCAACUCCUUUUCCCUCCGAUCUGUGCCACACCCUUCCUUACCCAAUUCCCUUUGGAUUCUGAUUUAAUUAGCCUUUUCCUUGUGGAUUUGGGUUAUGCAAAUCCUUUUCAGAAAUUAAUUGGGCCAAACCUUUUUCUUGGUGGAUUUAAACCUUUGUGCCACAAACCCUAGGGCCUAAUCCUUUAUUUCUGCAAAGUUGAAACCCUAAUCUACUUCCCCUAGGGUUUUGCCGAACUUAUAUAUACAUAUUUUCAGCCAAAAUUCGUCCACCACCCCCCAUAUAACUUAGAAACCCUCUCAGCCGCAAAACAGACCAUUCUACACCUUUGCCGCACCCUUGGGAGAAGAAAAGAAGCUUGUUGUGCCUUCCAUUGGAGCAAGGACCUUGUGCACAAGCCACCUGCAACCAUUGGAGUUCUAAGAGUUCUUUCUUCCCUCGUUUUAGUUUCAAUGUUUAUUUCAGUUUGCUUUUCAAUUGCUAUGAACAUGUGUAACUAAGUUUUUUUUAGUUAGAGGUGAAUUCAAAGCCAUGGACAUAUGUUUCGUAGAACAUAGGUGUGAUUUACUUAUCUAUUUGAUUGAUAACUUAUUCUUGCGUGUUGAUUAAAGAUGCAUACUUAGUUUGCAUGCAUUAAUCUAAUGCUAAAUUAUAAGGGAAUUUCACCUAAUCGUUAUGAACUUAUAAGUAAAAGUAGUGGAGAUUGCUAGUCACAAUCGUGUUAAGUAGAUUCUUGGCUGGAGUAUCAUGUAGUUCAUAGUUACAAUACCUUUGUCAAUGCUUAUGAUUUCCAUGGAACUUAAUGAUCUUUGAAUGUAUCAUGUUGUUCAUAUAAGGAACUUGAGAAGAAUAAUUUGGUUGCGAUGCGUUGUCCAUUCAAUUCAAUGAAUUUAGGGAAAUCUGAGAGUUAAUUUGUGCAUUCACGAUUAAUUUGGGGCAUUGUCAUUCAUGGUUUAAAGAAACAGUACUGGAAAUCGAUUUAUGUUGCAUAUGUUCAUGAGUGGGGAAGGACCCUCUAAUUUGCUUAUUUCACCAUUCAAUUCACCUGAUUUCAUACCUAGUUUGAUUUAGUUUUGCAAUCUGUUCAAUUUAAUUAAUUUCGUUCAAAUCAAUUCCCCAUUUUAUUAAGUGUGUUAGAUUAGUUAGGAAAGUGUUUAAAUCUGUCCAAUUUAGUGUUUUGAGUCUUCAUAGUCUUAAAUUCGUCUAAAUCACUCCCUAGAGUCUGUUUUGAGUCCUUUUAACUUAGUUUUGUUGUUUUGAGUCAAUUUGGUCAGUUUUGAGUCAUAAGAGUUUAGUUUGCUGUUUUUGAGUCUAGUUAAGUGUUUUAAAGUUUAAAUUGAGUAGAUUAGCAUCCCUUCUAAUCCCCAUCCUAAAACGAUCCCUACUUCCAUAUACUACAAUCAUAGGGUUUUAAUUUGAGUGUUGGAUUAUUUCACAUUAAAUUUUGGCGCCGCUGCCAGGGAUUAGCAAAAUUGCUAAUCUUCCCCUAGUAGUGCCUUAUGUUUGUUUGUUUUUGUUUUUUUUUUUUGUUUUGUUUUCUGAUUUCGUUUUGUUUUGGUUGCUUUGUUUUAGGUACUAGUUUAUGACUCGAAGUUCACAACAUAUGAGUGCAAAUAUCUUGGAGUUUGACGACGAUUUUGAAAGAACUUUGAGACGAAAUAGGAGGCAUCCAGAACCAAGUCCACCUAGUUCUGAAUCCGAAUUUGAAGAAGAGGAGGAGGAAGAACAAGCCAUGGCUGCCGAUAAUCGAACAAUCAAGCUCGGGAUUAGACAAUGCUGCACCCCUAUGCAUUCAAUAUCCUAGGGCAACUGAAGGCAAGACCAAUGAGUUUGAAUUGAAGUCAAGUUUGCUAUAUCAGUAAUCCAUCUUUUGUUUUCAAUGUUUAAGUUUAAUUAUCUUUGUUUUGCGAACAUGAGGAGCUAAACUCAUUUUAGCUAGAGGAAAAUUCAAAGCCAUGAACAUAUUUGCAAUAUGAAUUGAUUACUUCCAGUUAUGAUUUCAUGAAUCAUGAAUGCAAUUUACUUAACUGUUUGAUUCAGAACUUAUUCUUGUUUGUUGAUUAAGGGUGCACACUUAGUUUGCAUGCAGGGAUUUGAUGCUAGAAUAUAAGGGAGUUUCACCUAAUCGUUAUGAACUUAUAUUCAUAAGUAGUGGAGGUUGCUAGUCACAAUCGUGUUAAGUGAAUUCCUGGCAGGAGUAUCAUGUUAUUCAUAGUUAUGAAUGUCUUGUCAAUGCUUAUGAUUUUCACAAAGCUUAAUGAUCUUUGAUUGUAUCUCUAUUAUGAUGUUCAUGUAGGGAACUAUUAAAGAAUAAUUUGGUUGCCAAUGCGUUGUCUAUCCAAUUCAAUGACUUAAGGAAAAUCUGAAGGUUAAUUAGUGCUGUUCACGAUUAAUCUGGGGCGUUGAGGUUCAUAGUUUAUUGGAAAAGCAACUGGUAAUCGAUUUGUGUGCAAGUGUGUCAUGUGUGGAAAAGAACCAUCUAGCUAGCCAAUCACCCAUAUUUUCCCCCAAAUUCGUGCUAAACUUGUUUAAGUCUUUAAGUUACUUGUCUUUACUUUAAAUUCGUCAAAAACCCAAUCCCCUGUACUUUGUUGAGUCAAAUUAGUUGGAAUCUGUCCAAACUUGUGUUUUUAAGUGUUUUGAGUCGAGUUAAAAUCAAUUUUCGUCCAAAUCACCCUCUAAUGUCUAGUUUGAGUCUAUUUGAUUGUUUUGUGUUGUUUUGAGUCUUUUUAGUUUGUUUUGAGUUCUUUAAGUCUAGUUAAGUGUUUUCAAGCCUAGUUUUGUAUUUUUGAGUCAGUUUUAAGUAGAUUAGCAAUCCCUCCUAAUCCCAGUCUAGAACGAUCCCUACUUACAUCUUUACUACAAUUUUCAAUAAGAGGGGUUAAUUUGAAUGCUAGUUUAUAUCACAUCAGCUUCAGGCUCGACAAGGGGUCUUUUUCCACGGUCAGUUGCAGGAGGAUCAACCUGGUCAAUUGCCUCAACCAUGGGUGGAUGAUUUCUAGUAGGAAGUUUAAUUGGUCUAAGGGUGACUCGUCAACAGGGUUUCUUCACUGCCGUCGUCCUGAAAUAAAAGUUGUUAGUAUUCAAAAUCUAACCGAAAAGAAAAAGAUGUCAGCAACCUAAUCAUACCUCCUCUAGAACGACCACUAGUUUGGGUUUUGGAUCAGGAGGGAGAUUUUUCUCAGCCAAGGUGGCCACUUCCUCCAAGAUAAGAGCAACGACCGGCUUUGUUGUUGCAGGUUCCUUGACCACCAGGUUAUUAAUUGGUUUAACCACGACUUGUUGAACGGGUUGAACCUCAGGUGCUCGACCGAUGAGAGGGUUUGGUUGCGUGUCCGUCGAGGCUUGAGCAACAUGAGCACAAGGAAACUCAGCAGUUGAUCUUAUGGUUUGGCUGAAGAUGGCAUGAAUAUGCUUUUUGGGAUGGGGAGCAUCACCAACCGUUACGACCUCUGGGCAAAACCGUUUGCUCGGUAAGGUCAGUGAGGCAAUCGCGGUUUUCUUUAGCGAAGGAGCAGAUUUUUUCUUGACCAUAACCGCGGCUGCCAUGUCUGUAUGAAUACCUAGAAAAGUUAAAGUUAAAUCAGAAGGAAGUUUGAACAAACAACCAAAGGAGAAUGAUAAACGAAGACAAAUACCUUGAGCCGACUCCUUAGAUUUUGGGGUAAAGGCUUUCUUUGGGUGGUCGCCGAAAACUUUUUUGAUGGCAUUCUCGAUCGAUGUGUGAAAGAAGUCCUGAAUGUAUAUUUCCCACCAAUCAACGAAGGUGGCGGUGCUAAAGGUUUCAGGCACGUUAGGCCGGAUACGGAAUUUUUGGCACUUUUCUUGGAAUUCACAAACUGUCUCCCUGCAUUCUUUCUCCGAAGAACCAAAGAAGUGUCCCCGACUUAAGAGGGAGUGGGAAGUAAGUAAAGGCACCGGAAAACCUUGGAGGUAGCCGAGUUACCGAGCAAUGAAAUGAGGAUGGUAUACUUCCCAACUCACUCGACGAGUAUCGCAGCCGAAGGGAAAGUCUUGUGUAACAUGAACGACCCCCAAUUUUGACGAAGAUUAGCAUCUUCAGCUUCACUCCAUGCUGAUGAUGGAAGCUUGAUGGAAGGGGGGUAUUCUUGACGACGACAUAUCAUAAACUCGUUGUCAGAGAGGUCUUCUAGGCCGAAGAAGUAUUUGAAGACUUCUUCAGCCUAGUGAGGAAGCCCCGGUCGAGACGCUAACUGAGGGCUGAGCACUUCAGUGGGUUGAAAGCUGGGGAUCUCUGGUUAAAGAGUUGCAAAAUAAACCUGCAGCUAAAGUUAGAAAACCUAGAGGGGACCAUUAUGGUGCGGAUCAAUUUUGUUGAUAGUUGUCUCGGCCAAGCAGCGUAGGAGGUUGGCAAGAAUGGCCGAACUGAGGGCCAAUGUGUGACCAUUUGCCAGGGUUUCAGCAAUCGGCAUAUUCUUGACCAAACACUUAUUCGAUUUGGUACAACAAAUUUGUUGUACUAGUAGAAUAGGAGGCUUCAUGCUCACCCUUUCGAAUGUUUUCUUCUCCUUGGCCAGUGAAAUGGAGGAUGAGAGUGUUUUAGUUGAACAAAUUCUUGUGUAAUUUUUGAAUUUUUUCUCUUGAGGGUUCUUGACCCUCUUUACUCAGCACUUCGACAGCCUGCUCGUCGAAUAGAGCUUUGAGGUCAAGAAUAGACUUCUGCCUAAGAAGGGCGGCAUCAACAGAGAGGCCAGAAGGAGAGGUCCCAAGGAUAGCUGAGACAUCGAGGAUGAUGGGGCCGAUAGGACCGAAGGGAAGGAUCAUGAUGUUGGUGGCUGAGCACCAAAAGCACAAAGCUACCAUAAGAAGUUCUUUGUCCAUGACGAUUUCCACGGUCAAGAGUUUAAUGAUAUCAUAGAUGCCAAAAGUCUUCCAUUCUUUAUUGAAAAUUUUUUCCAUUCUUUCGAACCAAGUUACUCAAGUUAUGGUGGUUGAGGGCCAGUCUCCUUGGGGCUUGGUUAGGUCCCAUUUUGACCAAUCGAACCCUUGCAACAAGGGUGUCAGGCAAUGAUCCUUGAAGAUAAUGGUGAUGGACGAUGGUACAACAUUCCUGAAAAGUGGCCCCAAGAUCUGGUAAGAGGCGGUCAAAUCACCUUCGAAGCGCAGAGUUUUGAUGGCGCUUCGAUCGAUGAAGCCUUGGCAUUUGUUGCAUUCGUCAGAAAGCUUGGAAAUGAAGAAAGCCAUUGAUGACGAAUCGAAUAAUUUCUAGGUUGAGAGUUGUCUGGGUUUUCUAGGAACUCAAAAGCCAGAAGCAAAAGAGGUUCGGGAGUUAAUGAACUGUAGAGUUUGAACGAAGAAGAGACGAGUAUUUAUAGGGUUUUGGGCUGAAAACCCAACGGUUUAAAGUUUCGAAUAAAGGAUAAGACUAGUCGGAUAGUUUAACAAUCAUUAUGGAGAUUCGGGAAACCCAUAUGAAGAGGCCAAGAAAUCCGCAGAUCGAGGCUACACGAUGACAUGUGACGACGGAUUCAAUGAUGAAGAGACGCUUGAUUUUGUGCACGAUUCAAACAGACCGAGAAAUUCGCAGAUCGAGGUUGCACGAUAGCCUGUUGUGGCAAGUUUAAUGAUGAAGAGACGUUUGGGUAUCUGCACGUAGAUUACAAUUUCGCAAAUCAAGGUUGUAAUGAUGGUGUGUGGAAGGAUAGGUGUUUUAGUGUCAAGUAAGGACAAGUAUGCUAGGAAGUUGCCACAUGGCAGGGUGUUUGACAAAAUUAAGAUCGUGCAAUCAUGCUUCAUAAUUGCGCCGGAUAGAUGGGAUAUUCGAAUUGUUUUAGAAAAUAUACCCUGGUUUGGUUUCACUUCUUCAAGGUUGAAAUUCGGCUAAAGGAAUUUUGAGCCAAAGACCUCAAAAAUGAGGGGCAAUGUUUAUGUCCAAAACAUUAUUUUGGGCUGAAGGUAACAAAUGGGCCGAGACUCUUGAUCCAGUGGUCGUAAGGGGGAUCAUGGGCCGACUGGGUACUGGGAGUUAUCAAGACGUUUGUUGAUCGAGUCUCUUUGUGAGAAGGAUUGAUUUAGAUGAAUCCUUGAACCCCUAAGAGUGUUAAAGCUAACGGUAAUAAGGAACACAUAAAGAAUCUGGAUCAUUGUGGAGAUGUGUUCAAAGUCCUAAUUAAAGUAUGAUUGGCCGAGUCUUAGUUAGAUCAGGAUGAGGAGUCCUAGUUCGGGUAAGGUUCUAACUCGGCCGGAAGUAGGUUCGCUACUAUAAAUACAGAGGAUGAACACACAUUCAGGCCUUUCCAACUCAACACACAAAUUGCCCUGCGUAAACCCUUGCUCUACACGAAACUUCUCAACAACCUUGAGAUUUUUAGUUUCUUUUUCGCCAACACAUCUUCAGUUUGGAUAAACAGCACUGUGAAGGCAAUUGGUGAACAUCUUCAGUUUGGAUAAACAGCACUGCCGUCGUAGAAUCAGCCGACCGCGAAGCACCUUCAAUUUGGAUAAAUAACACUGCUUCAAGACCGACUGGUUAUCUAUCUAAGUCUUGGUCGAGAAUGGUUUUCGAAUCCUUUUUGGCAGAGGUCAUCUCACGAGCCUCUCAGCAAAGUGAGGCGUUACGAAUCACUAGACUCGACGCAUUAAACGGAAAGUGGUUUUAUGAUUGGAUACUCACAAGUUGGGUUUAGAGUUCGGCAUUUUGACGGCCGAACCACAUUUACGAUUAAGACGUACAUUUGUUUUGAAUAUUUGUGUCCAUAUAGUCUAGUCUCAAUUCGGUGUGCUUAUACUCUUACGAAUAUAAUCAUUGUGACCGACAGUGGCGAAGCCAGGAUUUGCCGAGAGGAGGGGCGAAAUUCAAAAGAGUGCAAGGUUCAAUCGAAACGGUUGCCUUCACAUUGGAGAGGGCAAAGUUUUGAAUCAAUAUUCAUAACAGAAAACAGUCUAUCCACCAAAUCGGUUGUAAACGGUAAGAUCAAAGCCAUGUAAGAAGCUUAAAUUGGUAAGAAUUAGAUUCUAAAAAACAUUAGGCGCUAGUCAGGCAGCGGACUGGGGCCUACCAAUUAGGCGCCUAGGCGAGAUUUAGGUAGGAGCCUAGAUGGAUUUAAAUGUCUUUUAUUGUAAAAUAAGCAUUACACGAUAUUUACAUUAUUUUUUAAAAAUUAAUACAGCAUUUAUAGAUAAUGUGAGAGUUUAAGAUAAAUAUGCUGGGGUUUUAAAAAGAGGGAAAAAAAUACAUACAAGAAUAAUAAAUAAAAAAAAGAAAAGAGAACAGAGAAAUGGGUUAACAAACCACAAAAAAAUGUGUUGUCAUAAUUUAAAUUUAGAUCAUUGAUUAAGUUGAUUCUUUUUAAACGUUUGAUUUGGAUUUAAUUUGUCAACAUAAGUCUAGCGAUAUACGACUUGUUGGUGAUUGAACUAUGUAAAAAGUAGUUAUGCUCAUUUAUAAGUGUGUUUACGCUAAAAGCCUAAAAGUGCAUUCAUUAGUUUAUUCAAUAUCUAAAUGCUUCUUCGUGAACAACUUCCUGAAGAAUAAUCUGACAAAAAGCACUUCGAGAACUUAAGGCUGGUUUGGUAUUGCUGUGCUUUGAAAAGAAACUGCUGUGAGAAUAAGCGGCUGUGAAAUAAAUCAGCAGAGUGUUUGGUAAACUUUUUUGUAAAAGUGCUUUUGGAAAAAAAAGCAGUCUGAUAGUGGGUCUUUUCAUUCAAGGUGCACUGUAGCUCCGUGUGCUUUGAAAAAAAACCAGUUUUCCAAAGCUGCAAAUAGCAGCUUCAGCUUUUUCCUUUGAUUUCAGCUUAUUCUCACAGCAGCUUCCAAAAUAAGCCUUUUUUUCAGUUUACCAAACACCUAAAACCCUCACAGCUUUUUGUCAUGGGUGCUUUUUUUUAAGCACCUCACUUCCAAAUCAUCCCUUAGAAAGAUAUAAAUUUUUAUGGGAGAUGUAACUAAAAGUGCUCUUUAGCCAUUCCAAUGGCAUUGCCCAACAGGUCCAUUAUACAUACAUGCAUAAAAAAAGGAAAACUUUGGGGGAGGAAGCCGAGAGGUAAUGGGGACAAGUGGUCCUUCCAUCAUAUUUUAAUAUUUGUUUUUCAAAUUAAGCCCAAAUGCCCAAACACACCGUUUCACUUAUUUUAAUAUUAAAUGUUUUUUUUUCAAGUUUUCCCUUCCCUGCGCAGCCAUGAAGAACUGCUGCAGUUGUAGCAAUUGUGAGCUGCAAUCCGGCGAAACCAGAGGUGCUAUGGGGCAGCAAACCAUGAUUUAUGGGCAUGUUUUCCUGUGAGAGGAGGGGCGGACCCCUCCCGGGCCUUAACAGCUUCGCCGCUGCACGCGCAGCGUUUGUGCAGCUGCAGCAAAAAACAUGGAUUCAUUUCCGGCGAGAGGAGGGGCGGGUACUCGCUCCUGGGCUUCAUUUCCGGCGAGGGGAGUGGCGGCCGCCACUCCUCGCCCUCACGUGGCUUCGCCACUGGUGACCGAAUCUGACACCGACGAUUUGUGAACUUCGUACAACUAGCAGCCUUGUUUUCAGGCUCUAGAACCCGAAAGCCAAGACGUGUUCCUUCCUCGGUUGCAAUCGCAAGAUCGAGAAGUCAGCAGCGCAUCCGACGCAACAUUAACAUAUUUUACUCCUCGGCCGAGCUCGGCCGACGAGUUGGCACGCCCGCAUACAACCGAAGGAUAUAGUUAGUUCAUUAGUUACUUGGCAUGCGCGCCAUGUAGGCUUGGUAGUUUUUAGGGUCAACAGAUUCCCUCUAUAAUUCUAUUGGACAAUAAUUUGAAAAGAAGCUUUGUAGUGAAAGAAAAUAGGGACGAAAGAAAGGACCACGAAACUAAAAGUUCUGAAAUCUGUACCAAGAAAAUUAUGUACACUUUGAAACUUAAAUUCUUUUGAUUUUGGCCAGAGCUUCUAACAAGAUGAUGAUAAAAACAUGAAAUAGGUACUGAAAGGGUUUGUUUUCAUAUCAGAAUAGAGAAUAUAAACAUGGUAAAUCAAAUUGGAAAGAAUUACUCAAGACACCCAAAAGUUAGAAAGAUCUUACCCUUAAGCCUUCCUCUGCAAACUUAAACCUGUUUCUUUCUUCUUCAGGGUUCUCACUCAAAUUCUCUCUAUUAAGUGAACGAAUACUUACUAUGAAAUUUCCUAUUCGAAGUGCAACUAUUUAUAGAGAAAAUGAUCAUGAUAGGAACCUAAGCCUAGACCUUCCACCACCUGCUUCAUAGCUUAGAUUACUCAGCUAUAUAGACUGCUUAAAGAGCAAUCUCAAACCACCAUGGAUAGCCACCUGCAUCCAUAUACUCUCCACCAAACCCAUAGCUCCUCCACCUCCUAGUUACAUAGCCUACAUUAGUCAGCAAAAUAAAGUAUUGGAAAAAAGAUUAUUAGGAAAGGAUAAGAACAAAUUACAAGAAGGGAAGAAAGAAUCUCUCAUUGCAGAAUCGAAGAUUAGAGAGACAGUCUUUGUCUUUUGUUUGCUGAGUUAUAACAAUAUGCCCUAUGUAAAAGGUUGGGCAAAGUGUAAAACAAAAUGGGCUGAAACUAUUUCCUUUUUGAAAUUAAAAAUAAUAACUUUAAAUUCUAGGUCUUAACAACCAAACUGAAGGUGGUGCUGGUUGUUGACAUGAUAUUUCACAAAACUGAAUAUUUGGCAAGGGAAGGAGUUAAUGUUUUCUUAGGGUGAGAGGGUUUUGCGUAAAGAGUUGAUUUGUGUGUUGAGUUGAAGGUUCUUUUUUCGUUGUGAAGCCUCUUCCAUUUUAUAGGCCAUGUGGUUUGCUGAGGCAUAAUUUUGAUAGGACUUAGCCUCCUCGGCAUUUCCCCUGAGUACCAACCUUUUCUUCCUUAGUUGAAACUUAACACACAUCUAGUCUCAGAUUUUCCAUUCAAGCAAGGACUCUGAACCUAGUCUUUUCUUAACUUAAUUUCUUCUUAUUUGAUAACCAUGAAUUUUGAUCACAGCCCCAAACUUAUCAGAAUCGAUUCCCAAUCCUUAACAGUUUAAUUCCAUGUAGGACUCACCCAAACCCUGCUCAAAUUUAAUCCCUCAACUGUCCUUCAAUCAUAAGGACUUGGCUAGGCUAUCGUUGUCUUGGACUAGAACACCUUGAACUAACCAAACCGAUGCUGGGAUAAAUACCAGGCCUUCCAUUGCGCUUUACUUGCUCUUGACCCAAACUUGUAUUUUAGGCCGAAACACUAGUAGGUGAAUUUUCUUUUGAAAACAAACCUACCCCUAAGAAUACUAAUAACACACCUAAGCAUCCAAAAAUUAGGCAUACAAUGGAUUUGCAUUGUUGAUUUUGCAGAAAAGAAAAAUUGUUCAUAUUUUAAGAUCACAAUUUAUAAUCUAUGAUGCAUGGACACGGGAGAAGACCAACGUAUCCUGUAUUUGAUACGCGGGAAUACGGAUACGAGGGCGAUACGUGCGGAUACGCAAUCGAUAAGUUCUGAGUCAACAGAUACGUUGUUGACUAAUGGGAUACGCGUAUCUUACUGUUGAGAUACGAGUAUCCUACCUUUCGGAUAAGUUUUAAAUUUUAAUCAGAGGAUAAUCACAAAAAAAAAAAUUCAAGAUAAUUACUCUUAAUCCGCACAGAAUUGUGAUAGUUGACAGUUGAUUGAGAUUAGCUGAACCGAAACGAUUCUGUGACAAAAAAUCGAAACGAUUUUGUGUAUAAAAUUCAGAUCUACCUGUUUUUCCUCACUCGAACAUCAGAACUGUCUUCGGCAACUGCUUCUGUCGUCUCCGUUUGCUACUGCUGCAUCAUAUCUUAUGCAUCUACUGGCGAGAGCUGGUAACUGGGUUUCAGAUUCCAUGCUUUCUUGAAGCUUUCUUUUUCUUUUUGUUAGAUUUACUGAUUACAGUCCCUUUUGCUUUUCUGAAACCAAACGAAAAGCUUCUUUUGUUUUUCUGUUUUUGCAUAUUAUAAUAAUAUUAUUGUUAGUGGUUUAGAAUGAUUUAGAUUAUAAUAUAUUUAUAUAUGUUUUAUGUUGCUUUGUUGAUCUCUUAACAUAAAUUUGACUUGUAACCUUUUAUACGACUACUUUGGAUUGAUUCUUAAGAUUUACAUGUUGAUAAUUUAGGAAAAAAGCUAGUUCGAGAAUGAGGGACUCUUUCGUUUUUAUAUUUUUGGUCAUUUGGAUGUUCUUUUUAGUUUUUCAAGUUUGAAGACUAAUUUAGUUGUUUAGUGGAUUAUCUUUUUAAAUGUUUGAAGUUUAUUGAAAUAAAUUUGAACUUGAAUAGUAUAAUUGAAUGCUUAUUUUAUAAUAUUUACAUAUAUUUAUUUAUUUAUAUUAUUUUUAAUUGCCGUAUCCUUGUCAUAUCGUGUCUUCAUUUUUAGAAAUUUAACGUAUCCCAGUAUCAUGUCAUAUUCCCGUAUCCGUGUCCGUGUCCAUGCAUCACAGUUUAUAAUCCACGAAACAUAAAUAAACCUAGUAAAAUAUAGGAAAAAAGUAAAAAUUCUUGCACCAAUGGAAAGUAAACCAUACCAACCUGCCAUAAAGGCAAUGGUCAGAUUACCUAGUACACUUUUCUAAUUCAAGAAAUAUGCAAUCUUUUUCUCCUUGGCCACAGCAUUCUCAGAACUUGGCUUAAACAAAUGGAAAACAUGCUCCUCCCCCUUUGCUUCCACCACCUCCACAACCCCACUCCACCCACUCUUUCUCAGUAUCUCACCAUAAUACCACCCCCCAUCUCUCAACCCACCUUUCUCUGCAACAAAAACCAGCAAUUAUUCUCUUAUACGUGCAGGCGUGGACAGCUCAUCCGCCCUAACUGGCUCUGUCCCCCAGAAAUAUGGAUGGAUCAAAACAACCCCAAUCAGCUUAGCACCACCAACCAAGCCCUCAGAGCCUACUCUCAAUCCCAUCUGGUAUGCUAUAUUAGCCCCAGCACUGUCGCCGGCCGAGAAAACACGAUGAAAAUCCGCAAGGAGGUUUAACCAAUCUUCUGAACCGUUUCCAUAGACAUGGGAAUCUGUAGAAAUAUAUAUUCAGAGAAAGAGCACAGCAAACAUGAAGCAGUAAUAUUGGUGGAAGUCUUACUUUGCCAUUACUCAUAAUCAGGUAUAAAUAUACAAGUUUACAGAGAGUCCUAAAGGGAUUGUGCAGCUCCCAAUACAAAUCCUAACGGGAUUACAAAUCUAUAAGAUAAAGUGAUAAUAUACAGAAGAUAAUAAUGGGGAUUAUGACAAGGGUAUAGACUUGGAGGACUCUUUACUAACAGAAGCAACCCAUUUGACAGCAGCCCACCAAUCAUCGUAGGCAGCCGGCAGAGGGUACUCGGGGUGAAGCCGGUAAUUAACAGAGACUGCGACAACAUUGGCUGCGGAGGCCAAGGAGUUGAGGUAGUUGUGAUACAUGGGGGAGGAGGAACUUUCAAUGCAGAAGCCUCCACCGUGGAAGUAAACGAGAAGAGGGAGUUUGUUGGUGGCGGUGGCUUUGGUUGGAAGGUAGAGCCUGGCGGAUACGGGUGGUUCUUGUGAGAUAACGACGAUGUGUUGAUGGAAUUGUUGGUGUAUAACCCUUUAGCUGAAGCUUGGCAGCAAGAAUCAUGUCUCUAUGUUUUGUUUCUGUUUGAAUGUGAGCCAUUGGAUCAUAGUCCACAUGGCACUUUAAUCUUGUAUCUAGCCUAAGUAAUAGAAUAAGCAUCAUCUCAUAGGAUGAUAGCAAUGAAUGGCUAAGAUUGUAUUGUAUGUUGAAGAGUGAAGGAUCUUCCUUCCUUCUUCAUAUAACGGUUAGAUUGUAUUGUGUGAAAUGUGAAUGAAAAUUUGAAGAGACAUCUUUGCAGCUUCCUCUCUCCAAAAACUCUCUCCAUCUUUGAAGACAACCUCCAUUGAAACACAUAUUGAAAACACACACAAACAUUAACAUGGCCUCAGAGCCUGGUUUCAUCGUCUAAUCUGGGCGUGAAAUCUGUGCGAUUGAGCUACAUCUUUGAGCUUCAAUCGAAUCUGGAAAUUGUGAUUUCGUGUAUCCAAGUCUCAUAUGGCUGGGUCCGGCAAUGUCGAGCUUAGAGCUCACGUCUUCAAUGGAGAGAACUAUGAAUUUUGGAGGAUUCGUAUGACAACUAUACUGAAAUCGUAUGGUUUGUGGGAGCUGGUAGAAAAUGGGUUUGAACCACCAGAUCCGAAGUCUGAGAAAGCUGUGGUCGAUGAGACGAAGAAGGAGACGACGGAUGGAGUGUCGUUCAGUGAGAUCCUGAUGAAGGAUGCUCGUGCGCUUGGAAUGAUACAAGGUGCAGUAUCGGAUCAGAUCUUUCCCAGAAUCGUGAAUGAAGAGACAUCCAAAGGAGCUUGGGAUGUUCUAAAGGGUGAAUUCCGAGGAGAUAAACAAGUAAGAAAUGUAAAAUUGCAAGGUUUACGUAGAGAUUUUGAAUAUACUCGUAUGAAGGAUAGUGAAUCAUUAUCUGUGUAUCUCUCUAGAUUGUUUGAUAUCAUGAAUCAAAUGAAAAGUUAUGGAAAAUAACUAUCUAGGGAGAGAAUUGUGCAGAAAUUACUUAUUAGUCUUCCGAAAACAUAUGAUACAAUUUGUUCUGUAAUUGAGCAUUCUAGAGAUCUUGAAAUUAUUGAGGUUCAAGAGGUGGUAGCCUCUCUAAAAGGAUUCGAACAGAGGCUUGAUUUACACACUGAGUCUUCGACUGAGAGGGCAUUUGCAAGUUUAAAUGUAGCAUCUAAGGGUGUCAAAAGUGGUGGAUUUUCUGGGAAUCAAAAUUCUCAAGAGAGUUGGAAAUCAAGGGGAAAAAAUUGGGAUUAUAAACCAAACCAUGUUAAAAAGCAGAGUAAUACUCAAAGGAAUUGGGAUCACAAACCCAAUUAUCCUCAGAGACAGAACAAUACUCAAAGGAAUUGGGAUCAUAGGCCUAAUUAUGUCCAGAAGCAAAACAAUGUUCAGGGUGAUUGUAAGUGGUGUGACAGGUUGCACUAUGGGAAGUGUUGGUAUGAAGGUAAACCAAAGUGCACAGGCUGUGGUAAGCCAGGUCAUUCUAUGAGAGACUGUCAUGAGAAUAAAGGAGUGCAGAAAGUUAAUUAUGUGAAGCAAAUGGGAGAAAUAGGAUCACUGUUUUAUGCCUGCAAUGCAGUGACCGAUGUGCAAGUCAAUAACUCAUGGUACAUUGAUAGUGGUUGUAGUAACCACAUGACAGGAGAUGAGAGAUUAUUGGUCAAUGUUCAGAGAGAUUUGACCUCCAAAGUAAAGAUGGGAACUGGAGAAAUUUGUCAAGUGGCAGGAAAGGGAACCUUGGUGAUUGAAACUAAAUUGGGAAGAAAACAUAUACAAGAAGUAAUACUUGUUCCUGGACUUGAGGAAAACCUUCUAAGUGUUGGACAAAUGAUGGAAAACGGUUAUUAUUUGUUGUUUGGAGGUGAUGUAGUGAAUAUUUUUUAUGGAUGGUCACUGGAUAAUUUAGUAGUGAGGGUACAUAUGACCAACAAUCGAUGUUUUCCUUUGACAAUGUUGUCUGCAACACAGUAUGCACUAAGAGCAGGUAUCACACAUUGUUCUCAGAUAUGGCAUAAGAGGUUGGGUCAUUUGUGAGAGAAGUCUCAAGGUACUUGAAGAACAGGGGUUGGUGCAUGGAUUACCUAAACUAGAAAUGUCCCAAAGUGUGUGUGAAGGUUGCAUGUUGGGUAAACAACACAGAGACUCAUUCCCUUCUCAAUCGACUUGGAGAGCUAAAGAUCCACUGGAGUUGAUUCAUACAGAUAUCUGUGGUCCAAUGCAAGUAGAGUCUCAUUCUGGAAACAAAUAUUUUUUGUUGUUUACAGAUGACUGCACAAGGAUGUCAUGGGUGUAUUUUUUGAGAAACAAGUCUGAAGCGUUUGAAUGUUUCAAAAAGUUCAAGGCAAUGUGUCACGCCCCAAACCCGGGGUCGGUAGUAAAAUAAGACCCCGCGCCCGAAACGCGAGUAAAAGUAAAAAUAAAUAAAAGGAAAUCGACACGGGUUGAAAAAUGAAAUCCUCUUAUUAAAAUAACUCCAUAAUCCUUACAGGGUGUACAAAAGUAAUAAAUUAAAAUCCUUAAACUUCUCCUCAAUCACAACCUCAGCUCUUCUAACACAUGUCUUGCCAAAUAACAUCUGACUUGCCAAAUAGCUCAUCUGUAACAUAAUAGGUGAGGAGUGAGCAACAACCACCGUCGCUCAGUGAGUAGAAUAUAUAAUAUGCCAGUCAAGCUUGCCAUUUUAAUCAUACUAUAAAAUAGGAUAAUAAUAUCAAAUAAUUAUACACAUAAUGCCAUAUCACAUCAUCCCUUUACGUGUCCAUUAUAUCCUUCAUAAAUUGUAACUCACCACGUGACCCCUAAUGGCCAUUUGCCCUAAUGUCCCCGUGUGCAACUUACAUUUAUCCCUCGGAUUAAUGCAACACCAAAGUUUUCAUGCUCCAUGAACAUUUCCAAAUAAUCCACAUAUCACGAUAUAUAAUAACUCCAAAACAUUUCAACAAAUCCAACAUGCUUGACUUGAAAUAGAUAGAGAUUUAUAAAUAGAUAAAACCCACAAUAGUUCGUGGUUUUCAUUUAUCGAAAAUAAGAACUUUUAAACACAUUACAUAAACCACUCACCUUGAUAAUCCAAGCUUUGGCAAGACAACCCAACUAACAUCUCCACACACCUCAAACUCUCUAACCCUAGCUCGCUAUCUCUCUCUAUACAUAUAUACAUACAUACAUAUAUACAUACAUACAUACAUACAUAUAUACAUAUAUACAUACAUACAUAUAUACAUACAUAUAUACAUAUAUACAUACAUACAUACAUAUAUACAUAUAUAUAUAUAUAUAUAUAAUAUAGACACAUAUAGAAAACUAUUGCAUGCACUGCAUGCUGCCAUUCUUUCGCAGGAUGUAAAACAAUGGAGCAGGGCCUCCUAUUUAUACUAGAAAUGAGGAGGUCAAGCUAACUUCUUAUUGGUUGGCUUAGCGGCUAGAGAUAUAACAAUUCAAUUUACCUUCUCUUACAAGCUGCUGCGUGGUAAUCUAAACAGGCAGUAGACUUAGACAAAUGGCUGACCAAUAACAGGUGGAAAUAAAAGAUAAGACACGUCCACUAAGUAGCUUCACAUAGUCACUGUGUAGAGUGCUCACUAAGCAAAUACACAAGGAGAUAGCUAUAAACUGUGGUGUGCCACGUUCGAAUAUAGCUUCCAACAGUAAGCAAUCUAGCUAUACUAAUGAAAAGAACACCUUUUGUCCUCAUUCUAACAUUAAGGUUCCCCCUCCUGCUUGCAUGAUUUGUAAAUGACAGCUCCUACUAAUAAAAACAUGAAUUACAAGACACUUGUCCUAUAAAUGCAAACUAAUGACACCUCCACCUUAAUCCUUCCAACUCAAAACCUAGUCAUGGUAAUGGCGAGGUGUGAAUAUGCAUAGCUACAUGAAUCACACGUGAUGCGUUAUGUAAAAACUUAUCUAAGCUUCAUUCUAACUAUAUAAAAAUAAUAAUAAUAAUAACCACAAAUACAACUAAAAAUACGGGACCUUACACAAUGACUGAGUUACAAUGUGGAUAUAAGGUUAAAUGUCUCAGGAGUGAUCGAGGAGGAGAAUUCCUUUCUGCAGAGUUUGACAAAUACUGUAAUGGAUAAGGAAUUCAGAGACAAUUGACUAUGGCCUACACUCGUCAACAAAAUGGAGUGUCCGAAAGAAAGAAUAGGACUGUGGUGGAGAUGGCAAAGUCAAUGCUACAUGAAAAAAACCUUCCAUAUGCAUUUUGGGCAGAAGCAGUGAAUACUGCAGUCUAUUUGAUCAAUAGGUGUCCUACCAAAGCUUUGAAGAAGUCAACCCCAUUUGAAGCUUACAGUGGUAGAAAACCUGGAAUAGCUCAUUUGAAGAUAUUUGGCUCAUUGUGCUAUGUGCAUAUACCUUCCAAUCUCAGACAUAAACUGGAAGAAAACAGUCACAAGUGUAUCUUUGUAGGCUAUGGUUCAAGUGAGAAGGGCUACAGAUUGUUUGAUCCCAUUUCAAGAAAGAUUGUUCUCUCAAGGGAUGUCACAUUUGAUGAGGAUUAUUUUUGGGAUUGGAACUGCAAUAUAGAUACUGGAGUGACAUUUCCAGUUAUCACUGAACAUAAGAAUGCUAAUGAAAUCUGUGAGGUUGAUGAAAAUUCUCAGUUUGAAGAAUACAAUGUUUCUCAAAGUGAGAAUGUGCCUGAGAGAUCUCCAACUUAUGAUGAUACACCGAAGAAAUGGAGAAGUAUCAAUGAAAUCAUGGAUCAAUGAAAUCAUGGCUCAAUGUAACAUGUGUGUUAUUGAACCAGAAAGUUAUGAGGAUGCAGCUAAAGAUGAUUCAUGGAGGAGUGCAAUGAAAACUGAAUUGGACAUGAUUGAGAAGAACAACACAUGGCAGCUUGUUGAGAGACCAUAUGACAAGCCUGUUAUUGGUGUUAAAUGGGUCUAUAAGACCAAACUUAAUCUGGAUGGCACUGUGCAGAAGAAUAAAGCUCGGCUGGUGGCUAAAGGCUAUUCACAAAAGCCCGGAAUCGACUAUAAUGAAACUUUUGCCCCUGUGGCAAGGUUGGAUACGAUUAGAACUUUAAUUGCCCUUGCUGCACAGAAGAAAUGGAACUUGUAUCAAUUAGAUGUAAAGUUUGCAUUUCUCAAUGGGGUACUGAAAGAAGAAGUGUAUGUUGAGCAACCUCAAGGCUUUGUGAAGGAAAGUGAAGAAACAAAGGUGUACAAGUUGAACAAGGCUCUAUAUGGCUUGAAACAAGCACCAAGAGCCUGGUAUGACGAGAUUAAUGCAUACUUCAAUAGUGCAGGGUUUGAGAAGAGUUCAAGUGAGGCAACUUUGUAUGUUAAGACAAGUAAGGACUCAUGUAUCAUUAUUGUCUCUCUAUAUGUAGAUGACAUUGUAUAUACUGGUAGCAGUCCACAAAUGCUUGAAGAAUUUAGAAAUGACAUGAUGAAACACUAUGAGAUGACUAACUUGGGCUUAUUACAUCAUUUCCUUGGAAUGGGUGUGCUGCAAACUGAGAACAGCAUUUUUAUACACCAAAAGAAAUAUGCACAGAAACUAAUUGAGAAGUUUGGUCUGAAAGAAUGCAAAUCAGUUGCUACUCCACUUGCAAUGAAUGAGAGGUUGAGCAAAGUUGAUGGAAGUGAACCUGCGGAUGAAGGAGAAUAUAGGCAGCUUGUUGGAAGUCUGCUCUAUUUAACUGCAACUAGACCUGAUGUGAUGUUUGCAGCAAGUAUAUUGGCAAGGUUCAUGCAUAAUCCCACUAAGAAACAUAUGGGAACAGCUAAGAGGGUACUGAGAUACAUCCAGGGAACAAUCGAUUUUGGUAUUGUCUUUGAAAGGGGAAAAGCUACUACCUUAAUCGGCUAUUGUGAUAAUGAUUGGGCUGGAAGUGAGGAUGAUAUGAGAAGUACUUCAGGGUAUGCAUUCACACUAGGAUCUGGUAUGUUCUCAUGGGCUUCAAUCAAACAAAACACUGUAGCACUGUCUACUGCAGAAGCAGAAUAUGUUAGUGCAGCAGAGGCUACAUCACAAGCAAAGUGGCUGAGAUUUGUUCUAGAAGACUUUGGAGAAGAACAAGUGGAAGGAACUCAGAUCUUGUGUGAUAAUACAUCAGCCAUUGCUAUGGCAAAGAAUCCAGUCUUUCAUCAAAAGACAAGACACAUCAACAGGAAGUUCCACUUCAUCCAAGAAGCAAUUCAAGCCAAAGAGAUUGAGUUAGUGUACUGCAGGACAGAGGAGCAGAUUGCAGAUAUACUUACUAAGGCUUUACCUAAAGAUCGAUUUGUGUAUCUAAGGGAGCUACUUGGAGUUAAAUCAGCCAAAGGGUUAGAAGGGAGUGUUGGUGUAUAACCCUUUAGCUGAAGCUUGGCAGCAAGAAUCAUGUCUCUAUGUUUUGUUUCUGUUUGAAUGUGAGUCAUUGGAUCAUAGUCCACAUGGCACUUUAAUCUUGUAUCUAGCCUAAGUAAUAGAAUAAGCCAAGUGGCAUCAUCUCAUAGGAUGAUAGCAAUGAAUGGCUAAAAUUGUAUUGUAUGUUGAAGAAUGAAGGAUCUCCCUUCCUUCUUCAUAUAACGGUUAGAUUGUAUUGUGUGAAAUGUGAAUGAAAAUUUGAAGAAACAUCUUUGCAGCUUCCUCUCUCCGAAAACUCUCUCCAUCUUUGAAGACAACCUCCAUUGAAACACAUAUUGAAAACACACACAAACAUUAACAGGAAUAAUUGUGGAUGUGCCUAAGGAUCUCUCGACUCGACCAUCUUUGUAUAAUUUGAUCAUCGGAGAAAAAUCGUGGGCUAAUUCUUCGCCGCUCAUGUUUUUUAUUCAAGGAACAGGUGCAGGGUGAAAGAGGACGGAGAGUAUGUAAGAGUUAAACAAAGGCUUUAUAGUACAAGACUCCAACACACACAGAGUCAUGUCUCAACUAGGAACUACACCCAAAUAUCAAGAGAUCUAACUAACUGAUAAUAAAAACUCUCUCCUCUAGUGAGAGCCUUUCUCACCGGCAGUGUGAGUGUCUCCGUUUUUUAUUUUCUGUGUCGCCGCCAGCUCUUGCCAUGGCAAGGCCAAUGACAAUCCCUUGAUUUUCCUUUGUCUUGUUCUUUUUCUUUCUCCAACGGUUGUUUGUAAUAACCUCAGCCCCGUUUCCUUCCACAUCUUCCCACAAUCUCAUCCUCCUGGUACUUUGUUUGCCUCUAUUUUCAUCAUCCUGAGCAUCUGUUUUCAUCAUCCUGAGCCUCAAAUCUACUUCACCUAUUUCAUCCAUAUCAUUCAGUCAUUUCCCCUAUACCUUCAUCAUCACUUGGCUCCAUUUUCUUUGCACCAAUCCUAAUUUCGAUUCUGCUAGUUUCAUCGCGAUUUAUCGCUGUUCCAUGGGAGGGUGUGUAGAGCUUUGGCUCGAGUGUUCGCACCACCACCUUUGUUGGCCCUUGUAGGUUCUUCCCAUUGUUUUCGCUUGUUGGCGCUGUCGUUCGUGGGAUCUCUCCCGCGGGCUUCCUUGUUCUAUGGCGGCGAUCGUUUUGGUGGUUUGUGGAGGAUGGAGCGACUUUCUUCUUCCUCAACUCUAGGGCUCGAGAUGGUGUGAUGGUAGGUCCUUGUGGCAAAGAUGGCUUCGAUUUGUUGGGAAGUUUCAGCAGCAGGAGGAGCUGCUACAUUAAUUGUCCUGAUUUAGGGUUUCUUCUGUUGUGUGGUGUGUUUGUGUUGGGUCCCAAGGCUCGCUUUGGGCUUUGUAAUGUGUGUUUUAAGGGUUCAUUUUUUUCUUUUGUUCUUAGUGUGUAUUUGGAUCAUUCUUGUGUUUUGUUUCUUUGUGGGUAAUAUACCUCCCUUUCUUAAAAAAUAAAAAAUAAAAAAACACUAACUGAUAAUUACAUGAGAAAAUAUCGUAUCAUAACUAACAAUUUUUCUAAUAUGCACUAGAGUUUUAGAUCGUGGAUUCUAGAUAGUUUUGUGGACACAAAACGAGCAACUUUUUGCCUAAUCAAAUCUUGAUGAAAAUUUAUGAAUUUAUACUUGUUUGGAAGCUUGAAGAACCAUCUUUCCAACGAUGUAAAGUUUGUUAAAAACCAAGUUCCGAAGUGAGAGAAAUCAUGAGUUAAAACAGUAAGUAUGUGCAGAAAAAAGGCACCAGAGUUUUUCACGGGUUUAAAGAAGCCUUUUUGAACAUGGUUUUGACCCGUCAAAUCUCAAUCAAAAUCUAUGGGUAAAUACUCGAUUUAAAGCUUAUGAUUCCCUCUUUAAUUCUACUGGAAAAUAAUUUGAAAAGAAGCUCUGUAGUGAAAGAAAACAGGGACGAAAAAAGGGACUACGAAACUGAAAGUUCUGAAAUCUGCACCUACAAAAUUAUGAACACUUUGAAACUUAUAUCUUUUGGUUUUCCAGAGCUUAUAACUGGAUGAUAAAAAUAUGAAAUAGGUACUGAAAGGGUUUGUUUUCAGAUCAAAAUAGAGAAUAUAAACAUGGUAAAUCAAAUUGAAAAGAAUUACUCAAGACACCCAAAAGUUAGAAUGAUCUCACCCUUAAGCCUUCCUCUAUAAACUUAAACCUCUUUCUUUCUUCUUCAGGGUUCUCACUCAAAUUCUCUCUAUAAAUUGAACGAAUACUUGCCAUGAAGAUUCUUUUCUUGCUGUGAAGCUUCUGCUAUUUUAUAGGCAAUGUCUUAAGGAUGAGUAGGUUUGCCGAGGCAGAGUGCUGAUAGGACUUAGGUGCAGUUUGGGAUUGAGGUGCUUAUAAAAAAAGCUAGGAUGAAAACAAGUUGGUAGGGGUUUUGGUGUUUGGUAAACUUUCAAAAACAGCUUUCUUUCAAAGUUGGGGGUGAAAAGAAGCCCAAAACCUGAAGGAGUCCUGAAGCUGCAAAUAGCAGCUUCCAAAAACAGCUUAUUUUAGAAAACACGGGUGAACAGUGGACGUUUAAUGAAUUUUUCAAUAACCCAAAAUUGCCCUCCUUUCCCUCUCGCCUUCAGCUCUCGCAUACCCGAACCCAGACCACUCACUCGUUCUCUUGUUCUCUCGUUCCAAAAACCAGCGAUCUCUCUCGUUCUCUCGUUCUCCAGGUUUCUCCAGGUUCCCUUUGUAAGCUGCUCUUGUAAAAAUUUGUUAUUUAUUUGUUUGGAUUUUUCAAUUUGGGGAUGGGUGUCAGGAAAAACAACUGGGGAUGGAGGGUAUGUGCGCACGCCUCACUCAAAAAAAGCGAAAUUAGAAAAAGAAAAAAAAAUAAAAAAUAAAGAGAGAGAGAGAGAUAACUAUUAAGAAAUAAGAAUCUCACGCAAAUGCUGAGAGGAGAGGGAGAUGGAGCAAAAGGGGAGGUUUGGCGAAAAGGGUAGCAGAGAAAGUGAAUGGAAUGGUUGCAAAUCUGUGAUUUUUUUUAAUUGUUGGUUGUUUUUUGUUGGUGAGAUCUUAGGGUUUUGAUUUGGUAGAGUGGGAGCGGGUGAUUUUUGUGAUUUGGGGAAGUGGGUAAUGGUGGGUUUGUUGUUAGGGUGAGAUUUGUGAGCUGGGAUUUGGUAAUCUGAGUGAGUUGGGGUGGGUUUGGGGGGUUUCUGGGAUGGUGUGUUUGGGGGUGAGAUACCAUUUGGAUCUGAGACUUGUAAAAAGAAAGUGAGAGAAAUGGAGGGAAAGGUUGGGAAUUCAGUUUGUCUCUGGUUGAUCUUGGUAGCUCAUCCACUAUGGAUGACAAUGGUGCUUGUUAAUUGUUGAAUUGGCUGCUGAUUAUAUGUUUGUAUUGACAUUGAAUUUACAUGUUGCUACUUCAGUUGACUGGUUUGAUCAAUUCCCCGCUGAUACUUUUUUGUUGUUGUUGUAUUGCCUCACCUGCCUUUGCAAUUAAAAAGGUAAAACCAUACUUUUACUUGUAUAUAUGCAUAUUGAUUUUCUCCUGAAAGUUGGAAAAUUAAUCAUGUUUUCUUUAUGAUGGUAUAUAUUUGUACGUAGUCGCAUAUAGUGUACCUGGGAUCACUUAUAUAUAUUUGUACGUAGUCGUAUUUUUAGUUGGGAUCACAUACAAAUACAACUGGCAAAAGUGUAAUCCUCACUAUAAAAAAUGGAGAGUUUCUGAAUUGUCCUGCAAACUUGGUUUGGUAGUUGUCUAACAGAUCACCAUUAUAGUGAGGAUUACACUUUUGCCAAAUGUGUCUAUUAUGGUCUGUGUGUGUUGUUGGUUUACUGCGAACAAAUGUGUCUAUCUUAAAUGGUGAUGGCCAAGCUUAGAUUGCAUCUUUUUCCUCAACCUGAGCACCCAGUAAGUAUAUGUCACUGUUGUAGCUACUACAGUAUAUCUUAAAUGGUGAUUUGAAUGUCUAUCUGUAUUUUGAUUGUUCGUGCGUAAAAUCCUUUUCGGUUUUCGAACCGAGGUGAGUCUGUUUUGGACCAAAUUUAACAUGAUUACAAAGCUUUAGUAUGUAUUGUUAGCGAAAUGUAUGUUCUCUAAUGUAUGGGACUCGAGCGUGCCGACUCAAGCUGAUGUUUGUUUCAUUGUCAAAAUUAUGCACGUCUUCGUAACUGAAGGAUUUUUAUUUCAAAGGUAGUGGCACUAGUUUUGUUAUCAUCGUUUGCGAAUUUGUUAAUUUCUUAACCGCCUUUGUGUUCAUGGAAUGACAGGAGGGAAAACCACUUGUUCUGAAUGUGGUGAGAAAAGCUGAAUAGCUGCUCGUUAAUGACAUGUAAGCUAUAUCGUUGUCAGUAAAUUGAUUUUGCUAUUAAUUUAAGAAGCUAACAUUAUUGACGUUAAAUGGCAGCAGGCCUUAUAACGUGUCUAUUCUUCAUUAUGCUUUAAUACUCUUUUCAUUUCGUUAACAUGCCUCUUAGAAGACCUCAGUUCUGCCCCCGCUGGAGCAAUUGUACUUCUCCAUGUAUGUGCUCAUAACCCCACCGGUGUUGAUCCAACUCUUGAGCAGUGGGAGCAGAUCAGACAGCUCGUGAGAUCAAGAGAAAUUACCUUUCUUCGACGGUACUUAUCAGGUAGACCACGUGUAGAGUUCCAAUUUCUCUACACUCUAGUUUCUUCUUUUUGUUUAACAUCAUGUUAUUCCAACUUCUCAUGAUGAACUGUUUUCUUGUAUUUUUAGGGUUUUGCUAGUAGAAGUUUGGAUGGAGAUACACAGUCUGUUCGUAGGUUUGCUGCUGAUGGUGGAGAGUGCCUUAUUGCUCAAAGUUAUGCAAAACACAUGGGUCUGUAUGGCGAACGUGUUGGAGCCCUAAGCAUUGUAAGACUCAUUCCAUAAAUUUCAGUUGCGAGUUACCUUAUUUGGUUGCAUCCCACUAAAAUUUAAUACGAAAAAACUCCAUACUUGCCAUACAUCUUAAAUUGUUCUUGAUUAUAUUGGUUGUUGAAAAUUCUACUUGAACAUAGGUCUGCAAGAAUGCUGAUGUUGCAAGCAAGGUUGAGAGCCAACUGAAGCUUGUGAUCAGGCCCAUGUACUUGAACCCACCCAUUCAUGGUGCAUCUAUUGUAGCGACCAUCCUCAAGGAUAGGUACUCUUUGAAUCUUGUUCAUAUAUGUGCAAAAUGACAAUAAUUGACUUGAUGUAUCAUCAGCUAGUUAUUGAACUCCGACCCAGAAAUAGUUUUUCCUUCCCUAUUUGAUUUCUAAUCAUCUUAUCACUUAAUUCUUCUGUGGUCAGGGAUUUGUUCAAUGAGUGGACAAUUGAGUUGAAGGAAAUGGCUGAUCGUAUCAUCAGCAUGUGUCUUCAACUUUUUGAAUCCUUGUAUGCCAAGGAUUAGCAUGGCGGGUCUGAGCUCAAAGACCGUCCCUCAUCUUACGGAGGCAAUACAUGCAGCUGUUACUCGCGCUGCCUAGUCAUAUGUUUAGAAGGCAACAUUUUCUUCUUGUGAGCCGUCUCCAAUGUUGGACUCUUCCCUUUCUACAGUUUUGUUGUAAUAAUUGUUUUACCUUAUUAGAUGAGGUUAAAGAUUUCUCCGACUAAAGAUAAAAUGAAGAAAAUCUAGAGGAUUUUUUAGUUUUGUUUUCGACCUUCCCCAUGUUACAAUUAUAUGAUGCACUCAUGUCAAACUUUUCGUUCAUUAGAAAUAUUCAUGCCAAAUUAAAAGUUUUUGGAUCUUCAAAUAUCUCUUUCGUAUGCCAUUGUUUCAUAAUUUUUGGAACUUUUUGGGUUUCAAUAGUCCGGGAAGACGUAGAGCGAUUUUGAAAAAUGAAUGGUGAAGAUUGGUUCUAAUAUUGUUUCUAAGAAAUUAAACGGUGAAAAUUGUUUGUAAAGCUGGACUGUUUUUUAAAAUUGUUUGAAUAGCAACAAGUUUGAUAAAUGCAUCUAAUUAGACUACUUUCAAGGACAUUAACAAUAUUGUACUGAUGAAUCCUAGCUAUUCAGUCUAAAAUAUUUCAAUUGAAGUAGUUUGUCAUACUAAUUAAUAUUUAAGAUAAAGUUUAUAAAUAUUUUUCUUCUAAAAAUAAAGUAUAUUUAGUAAUUCACUUUUAUUUGUUAAGAAAACUAAAUUAUUAGUAUUAUACCCUUUUUGUCAUUUCACACAGUCACAGCUGUUUUACAUAAAAGUUUACCAAACACUAUCAUACAGCUUUUUUUUCUAAAAGCACUUUUACAAAAAAGUUUACCAAACACUAUGCUGUUUUAUUUCAUAGCCGCUUAUUCUCACAGCACAGCCGCUUAUUCUCACAGCAGCUUUUUUUCAAAGCACAGUAAUACCAAACCAGCCCUUAGCCUCCUCGACAUUUUCCCUGAAAACCAACCUAUUUUUCCUUAGCUGAAACUUAACCCUCAUCUAGUCUCGGCUUUUCCAUUCAAACCAAGACUCUGAACCUAGUCUUUUCUAAACUUAAUUCUGAGUAAUGCUAUUCAUACCAUAUUUUGUACCACAUUUUCAUACCAUCUUAGAUGACAUUUGAUGUAGACAACCACGCCAUUUGAAUUAAUCAGAUUUAAAUUUAGUUCAUUAUUUAAUAAACUAAUAAUUAAGAAAAACUAGUUAAUUAAAUGAUGAUUGUGGUAUACGAGGAAUCUUUCCCUUUCCUUUCCUUGAGUUUUGCGAAUUUUUCAAAUGAUAUGGCUGUCCUCAAAUGAUGUGGUUGUCCACAUCAAAUGCCACCUAAGGUGAUAUAGAAAUACGGUAUAAAAACAUGGUAUGAAUAGCAUUACUCCUUAAUUCCUUCUUAUCUGGUUAAGCAUAAAUUUUGACCAUAGCCCCAAACUUAUCAGAAUCAAUUGCCAAUCCUUAGUAGUUUUAUUCCAUGUAGAACUCAGCCAAACCUUGCUCAAAUGUAAUGUCUCCACGGUCCUUUAGGUACCGUUUGGUACGUGGGACGGGACGGGACGGAACGGGAUGAGCCGUUCCGUCCCACGUUUGGUGCGCCUAAAAACUGUGGAACGGGUUGUCCCAUGGGACGAAAUUUGGCUGAUUUUUCAUUCCACCUCUUCCCCCUGGAACGACCCGUUCCACAUCCGUGGAACACAAAUUUAUAACAUUUUAUGACAAAAUUUCUUCUUAUCUUUUUCAAUAUUUACAUCAUCUAUUCCGUCUCGUCCCGUCCCAUCCUGUUUCGUCCAGUCCCAUCCCAUUCCGUCCCGUCUGCGUACCAAACAGUACCUUAGUGAUAAGGAAUCAGCUAGGCCAUCGUUGUCUUGGACUAGAACCCCUUGAACUUGCUGAACCAAUGCUGGGCUAAAUACCGUGCCUUCCACAGUACUAUACUUGCUCUUGGCCCGAACUUUUAUUUUAGGCCCAAACAGUAGUAGAUGAAUGUGUUUUUUUGAAAACAGACCUACCCUCCCUAAGAAUAUAAUAACACGCCUAAGCUUCCAAAAAUUAGGCAUAUGAUGAAUUUGCAUUGUCGAUUUUGUUGAAAAGAAAACUUGUUCAUAGUUUAACAUCACAAUUUAUAAUCCACGAAACAUAAAUAAACCUAGUAAAAGAUAGGAAUAAAGUAAAAAUUCUUACACCAAUGGAAAGUAAACCACACCAACCUGCCAUAGAGGCAAUGGUCAGAUUACCUAGUACACUAUUCUAAUUCAAGAAAGACGCAAUCUUUUUCUCCAUGGCCACAGCAUUCUCAGAACUUGGCUUAAACAAAUGGAAAACAUGCUCCUCCCCCUUUGCUUCCGCCACCUCCACAACCCCACUCCACCCACUCUUUCUCAGUAUCUCACCAUAAUACCACCCCCUAUCUCUCAACCCAUCUUUCUCUCACACCCCAUUUCCCCAAACUUCGGAUCUUUACCAGGGUUGAAAAGUCAGAUCCACUACUCAACGGGUAAGCAAAUUGCCACAAGGCAGCAAAGUACUCUCAUUUAAGUGCAGGCGUGGACAGCUCCUCCGCCCCAACUGGCUCUGUCCCCCAGAAAUAUGGAUAGAUCAAAACAACCCCAAUCAGCUUAGCACCACCAACCAUGCCCUCAGAACCUACUCUCAAUCCCAUCUGGUGAGCUAUAUUAGCCCCAGCACUGUCGCCGGCGAAGAAAACACGAUGAAAAUCCGCAUGGAGGUUUAACCAAUCUUCUGAGCCGUUUCCAUCGAAAUGGGAAGCAACCCAUUUGACAGCAGCCCACGAAUCAUCGUAAGCAGCCGGCAGAGGGUGCUCGGGGGCAAGCCGGUAAUUAACAGAGACUGCAACAACAUUGGCACCGGAGACUAAGGAGUUGAGGUAGUUGUGAUACGUGGGGGAGGAGGAGCCUUCAAUGCAGAAGCCGCCACCGUGGAAGUAAACAAGAAGAGAGAGUUUGGUUGUAGCGGUGGCUUUGGUUGGAAGGUAGAGCCUGGCGGAUACUGGUGGUUCUUGUGAGAUCACGACGUCUUUGGAUUGGACACCGGUUUGGGGAUGUGUUGAUGGAGGAACUGUGGAUGUGCCUAAAGAUCUCUCGACUCGACCAUCUUUGUAUACUUUGAUAAUCGGAGAAAAAUCGUGGGCUAAUUCUUCGUCGCUCAUGUUUUGGAUUCAAGGAAGAGGUGCGGGGUGAGAGAACGGAGAGUAUGUAGGAGUUAAACUAAGGCUUUACAGUUAAAAAAGACUCCCCAACAAAAACAAACCAGAGUCCUAUCUCAACUAGGAACAGAUACUUACAUGAGAAUAUAUAUCAUAUAAUAACUAACAGUUUUUCUAAUAUGAGUUUUAGAUCGUUGGAUUCCUUAAGACUUUUUGACCAAGCUGUAAAGAGAAAGAUAUUGCUUAUUCAGUGUAUAGUAUUGUAGAUAGCCAUUUAAACUUUUAAUGUUACAGUUUAAUAAUAUUUUUUUCUUGUGAUAUAUAUACAUCAGAUUAAGGUUGAAUUUAUAUGGAUAUGAGUUUUCACUUAUGCAUUAAAGCAGGGUUGAAUAACUACUUAGUAAUACGUUUUAGUGAUAUUGUUUUUCACUUGUAAGUGAGGUUUUAGGUUGGAUUCUUGCCAUUAUUGCUAACCCAUUAUAAGGCUAAGCCUACCAUAAUAUCGAUUGUUUGAAAGAAAAAAAACAACAGGGUUGAACGGUGUUUUAAGGGGAAUCUAAAUUUUUUAAGGCUUAAAAAAAUCCCUUUUUACAUUAUAAUCUUAAUAGUUAUUAAAACCUAAUUUAGAUCCUUUUUAAUACUCAGUGCCAGUGCUACAUCACACUAUGGCUUAGUUCUAUUCCAUUAAUAAAUCAUUCAAAAUUCAAAAAAAUUAAACUUUGUUUAAGCCGUAAGAUGAAUCCCAAUAAGGUAAAUUACAUUUACUAAUAUGUCGUGACCUAUAUUUAGGGAUUAUUGUGUGUAUUCCUCCCUACGUAGUGGUUUUAUUUAUAGUAAAUAAGAGGAGAGGAUUAACUUGUCCUGCAAGUAAAUACAAUCCUAUAGGUAAAAAAUGACUAGACUAAUAGACAAUCUAGAAAUCAAAUUUAUCUACGAUUUACACAAUCAGAAUUAAAGAGCAGUGGUGUUAUUCCUACCCAAAUGUCUUAUCUCCCCACCCACUUUUUAAUGAAAUUUUUAAUUAUAAGUUUGCUCAUUUGUAAAAUGACUGAUAAAAACCUUAAAAGAUAGCUCUCUGUUCACAAACUAUUUAUCUAUCCUUAAACCCUUACCCAAAAAAAUUCCAGUGCUACUCAACUUGAAAUCGUUCUGAUUCCACACUAUUGCCUAGGCUGGCGCCUAGUGCCUAGGCGGCUAGGUGGGGUCUAGGCUGGCGCCUAGUGCCUAGGUCGCUAGGUGGGGUCUAGGCGGGCGCCUAGGCGGCCUAGACGGAUUUAGGUAAAUUUCUUGUAUAUCUUGUAAAUAAGUGCAUAUUGACACUUACAAAAAAUUAAACUUGUAUGAAAUUCAUUGAUAAGAUAAUAAAAGAAUAAUAAAAUGCAAAAAGAGUAUCCAACAAGUCCAAAAUUUAAAAACACAUUAAGCAUAUAUGCCAUAGAACCAUAGUGAGGAGUAUUGUAGGAUAACGUAUGUACAAUAAGUUCAUAAUUUAAAAAGAAAAGUAUAUAUGUAUGAAAAUAUGUAAGAAUUUAGGCUCUUUUUGUUAGUUUUGCAUCAUUUUGUAAGUCUAUAAAUAAAAUGCAAGUUGGGUCAUGUAUUCCUUGUACAUUUAAGUAGAAAUGUCGUCCAUUUAUAGAUGGGCUUAAUGGACCCUAACAAAAUACCCAAAGUCAUCCAAUACAUUUAUUAUCCUAUUAGAAUAAAAAAACCAAAGACACUAGUUUUUAGGCAUCCCGAUUCCAAUCAUUGAGUCACUUUCAAAAGAAAAAAACCCUAAGAUGCUUAUAAAAAACCAUUGCCGCCGUCUGCUUAUCACCAUAUCUGCAAUUGCAGAUUCUUUCUUUCUCUCUCUCUCUCUCUCUCUCUCUCUCUCUCUCUCUCUCUCUCUCUCAGACCAUCGUCACACUGAGAGGAGACAUCGAGACGCACAUCGCCCAGAUUUCCCAGUGUUCGCCUACUUCUGGGUAGGCUAUCAUAUUUUCCCAGGCCACCCAGAUCUUCCAGCUUCCGUAUAUCCUGCCUAGCGACCGUUUAGCCCACCUAAGCGUCCGACUUAUGCCACCUAAUAACUUUGCCAAUUUAGUAAACGAUUUCGAGAUAAUCGUGGCGGAGCACCGCCAUCUAGCACCUAGGCGCCGCCUAGGCCGUGUUUUAGAACACUGCUAUUUUCUACAUUUUCUGAAAAUUACUUCUCAUGAAAAUCUUGAAGAUGAAGACGAACCCAAAAACCAAGCAACCAGCGUUUGCUUCUUCUCUUUUUUCUUCAGCUACUCUCCAGUUCAAAUUUAAUGUUUUUUUUUUUUUUGGUUGGAUGUUUCAACAAUGGAUAUCAGCAUAAAUUGAUAUGUAAUUUGAACUUGUUGCUUAUGUAUAGAUGCUAAUAUUUACACAAAUGUGGAAGAAGAACUGAGGAAGGGUAUUCUAUAAAGGGGGUUUGACCAAUAGAAAAAAAAAAUGGUACAAAGUCUGUCACUGAGCUCUCUUAAAUUAUUUCUUACCGGUGCAAUAAUUAUAGAGACAAGCUCGGAGCGAAGCGAGAGUGCUAAUGAGGAUAUUUUAUGAAUAAAAGUGGGUGAGGAAAGAGCAUUUUAAUUUUUUUAACUUUUUAUUGUGGGUGAGAUUAUAAUGUAGGUGGAGAAAUACGACAAUGGGUGGGUCUAGUAGUUCUCUUAAAGAAUAUCCAUAACACUCUUUCGUGAGUGUGUAAAUACUUAAGUAGAUUUGUCAUCAGGUGAAGUUGAGAAAAUUGACUCGUCGGCAUUGAUCUGGUAAAACCCAAUAUAUAGCAGAAACUGAUAGUCAAAGGAAAAAGUGAAUUUAUGCAAAGCCAAUUUAAACGACUACGGGACGUACACAAGGGUAUGACCAACCCAGGAUGGGUGCCUUAUUAAAACUUCAUCAGGUAGCAAAAACUCAAAGGGAAAAAUACUCCUAGCCGCUCAAAAAUUUUACGUAUACUAAUUCCUUGAACAAGCUUCUGGAAAGUAGUCUUUGACAAAGAUUUGGUAGAGAGGUCGGCCAAGUUGUAUUAGGAACAGAUUUGUUUGACUUCAAUCUUCUGAUGUUCUUGUUUCUGAUGAGGGAAAAAUGACUUUGGUGCAGUGUGUUUGGUGUUGUCUCCUUUGAUGUAUCAUUUCUUUAGUUGUUUGAUACAUGCUAUGCUAUCUUCAUAGAUCGUUGUAGAGACAUCAACGACGAAUUAAAAUUUGCAGGUGCUUCAAAUAUGUUCCAUUAUUGCUCUCAACCAAAAUUACUCCUAAUUGGCUUGAUGUAAGGCGAUAAUUUCAGCAUGGUUCGAAGAAGUUGCAACUAAGGUAUGUUUGGUUGCCUUUCAACAUCUAGCGAUGCCUCCAACGAUAAAAAUGUAAGCAAUUUAAGAAUGUGUCUUGUGCCUGUCAAAUAAGUAACAUGUGUCAGCAUAACCAAUAAGGUUUGAAUCAAGCCGAGAAUUGAGGUGGGUUGCGACGUGCUUGUCUUUAACACCUAUCCAGUGUUUGGGUUGUGGGCGCAUAGUUGUAUCUUGCCAAAAUAUUGACAACAAAGGAGAUGUCCAUUUUAGUGACUAAGCUAAGUACAAUAAAGCAGCAAUCGCACUUAGGUAUGGAAAUUCAGGCUCCAAAACCUCAUCCUUAUCCUCUUUAGAAGGGAAGUGAUCUUGUUUUGCAUCUAGCUAUUGGAUGACCGUAUGAGUACUGGAAGGCUUGGUUUACCCUUAUUAAACAAUGCAAUACCUUUUGGGAAUAGUUCGGUUAAUAAACAAGAAUUCCAUCGAAACAGAUGCUCAAUCUCCAGGCUGAGAUAGUAUCGAGUUUUCUCAAGAUCUUUCAUCUCAAAUUCGUCUUCAGGUGCACAACAGUUUUCUCAAACUCUUCAAGAGUGCCAAUGAGAUUCAUUUCAUCGACAUAAAUAGUAACAAUUGCAAAUAUGGAAUGUGACUUCUUAAUAAACACGCAUGGGCAUAGUAAGUCCUUCUAGAACUUUCAUAAGCUACAUAACCAGUUUUUCUGAAACUACCAAAUUGAUAAGGUAGCAAAACGUAAUGAAGUUCAUUACGGGAGAGUAAGUUUCCUCAUAAUCAAUCCUAGGCGUUGAGGGAAGUCUUGCGCUACAAGGCAUGCCUUAUAUCCCACUAUUUCAUUAUUCUCAUUAUGCUUCCUUACGAAAUCCCACUUGUAGCCAACAAACUUCACAUGUGGCAGUGUAGGAGCCAUAGGCCCCAACACCUUUUGUUUUGCAAGCGAAUCAAGUUUGACCUGGAUUGCUUAAUUCUAGUUUGACCAAUUUGUUCAACGUCAACAUUCUUCAACCGAACAUGGUUCAAUGUCGUCAGUCAACUUAAUCACAAUAGCUACCGCAUAUGCUACAUCGUUGAUUAUCAUCUUAUUCCUAUUCCAGACAUCAUCCAAGCUAUCAUAGUGGACCGAAAUCUCUCAAUUCUUAGGAGACCAACUCAUCUCUUCCAGAGAGCUUUCGUAAUCUAGAAUAUCCUUAUGCGUUGGAUAUUAAGAGUAGGCGAUGGUAUGGUCGGGUUUAAGCUAGUUUCACUAGCUUGUGUCGUGGUUCUCCUCUUCUGGGAUUAUGAAUCAUUUGAACCAAUGAGUUUACCACGCUUCUGGGUAGGAGUAGAUGAUUGGCUAGCCACCAAUGUUCUAUGAUCAGCCACAUUAUUAACGUCUAAUCCUUCUUGGAUCAAGUUUCGACAUACGUUACGUAGAUCUAUCUUUGUAGGCACAUUUGCAACUGUUAUAUUUAAUCUUGUCACUCUCGUUAGAGCGAUAAAAGCAUCUGACAUACUUUGAGAACCGUUUUAAAGAUCUAGGAUCUAUUACAUUACAAUUUCAGGUUGUGCGGUAUGGGGAAUUAAAUGAGACAUAGUGGGAGUUGUCCACAAUAAUGCACAUCAUUCUUCAGGAACAUUGACGUUCUUAUCUCCCCUUAAUGUUGGGAAGACUAUCUCAUAGAAGUGACGAUCUGCGAAACGAGGAGUAAAGAUAUCACCUAUCAAAGGUUCUAUGUAACAAAUGAUUGAAGGAGAAUCAUAACCAACAUAGAUUCUCAUCCUUCUCUGAGGACUCAUUUUGGUACUUAAAGGCUGCACAAUUGACACAUAGACCGUAAAACCAAAGAUAUGUUGAUGCGAGAUGUCGAUCUCGAACCAACAUGGCUACAUGAAAUAUUACAUGGCCUUAGACAGUGAUUAGGAUUUUGGUAUGUAUGACCACUGAUCAAGCGAUCAUUUAAAGGCGCUUAAUAAAGAAUCUUGCCAAGCUGUUUUGGGUAUAAACUUGGAGCAUCAGAUGUUCAACUUUAAUCCCAACAGACAUGUAAUAGCCAUCAAAAGUUUUUUAUGUGAAUUCUCCAGCAUUAUCCAAUCAGAUCGACUUAAUCAGAUAAUCAGGGGGUGAUCCCUUAGCUUAAUAAACUAAGUUAACAAUUUGGAGAAUGAAAUGUUUUAGGUGUACGAAAGACACGUGUGUGGCCAACACAUAGAAGUAUCAACCAAUUCAUAAAGUAUUUAAAUGGUCUAUAAGGUGCUUGAAUCGGUCCACCCUCUGGAGCAAGUUUGGCAUGCAAGGUCCUGCUAGAUUUCUUCUAAUCUUUGGACUAAAGGAUGCCUAUGAGUAGAGGUGAAGAUAUAGCGCAUCACAACUCGGUCAAGGUGUUCUAAAUUGUCAUACCAAAGAAAAUUUUCAUGUGCAAUUUUGAGGGGGGCCAGGCAUAUAGUAGCAUUCUAUAGAAUAAAUGGUAGUAAUACCUAUUCCAUUCAGGAGUAGCUCUAUCUGUAGACAUGUAAAUUUUGUUGCAUGCAAAUGAUACAUCAUAAAGCUCCACGUGGCAUAUGACUCAUCAUAAAUGGACAAGUCGUCAAUGACACGUGGCACAAAUCAAGCAAAAGAAGUGUAAAACAUCCCCAAAAUUCGGCAAAAAGGGAAGAAAUCCUUUAAAAUCGGCAAGGGGUCCAAAUUGCUCCCAAAACUGGAAAGAAAGCUAAAGCAUCUUCACAAAACAAGCAAGAGUUGAAGAGUGCUCACAAAAUAGGCAUCAAGGCCUACAAAUUUCGGCCAAUAUGAGGAAGGUGGCUGAAAUUAAGACACAAAACAUGCCUAAAUUCUCCUAUGGACGAAUCAAGACACAAAUCAAAGCCAAAUCCAUCUAAAGGCAAGCUUUGAGAAGUCUAUAAAUACCCCCAAGACAAGCAUAAGGUCGACAAUUUUUAUAUUCAAAGUUAGAAAUUCUACAUUCAGAAGAACUUCUGCACAAAUCUUUGAAGACUAUUACGCUGUCAAAGCCCUCUUUGAAGAACUCACAACCAAAGUCGAAGCUUUAUUUCGACCAAAGUCGAAGCUUUCCCAUGAAGAAUCAGCAAGCACUUGUGCCGAUUCCUUCAAGACUUUGUUGCGAGCUCAAAACUUGUAACGACGUUCGAUUCAAGAUCAAGACAUCAAGACCCUUGAAUAAAAAAUCCUACAUCAAUUAUACCUUUGCCUCAGCUUUGAGGUGAAGACCUGAUGAGUAGAUUUUAUAUUAUAUAUUUUACCCUAAUCUUAGUAUAUUUUGGUUAAUAUAUUGGAAGAAUUUUGAUACUUUGAAUUGUAUUUUCAAUAUAGGACUUUCGACUUCCUCUGGAGCAAAACAGGAUCAAAUGGACGAAUUUUGGAGUAAUUCCAAUUGGAGGACGUUCGUGAGUCACUUAGCUUGAUCGUAUCAAAAUUUGGGAUUUUUCCACCAAGCGGUUAUUUUCUGGCGAUGAAAUAAAGAAGCAGUGCGCAGUGCUGGAAAGUGACGUUUUUGGGCUUAAAUUGCGUUUUUGGAGCCCAAAAUGACCUUGGAUGGGUUUGUGGCCUUCUGGAAAAGUACUCAGAAUAUUCCAAACAUUAAAUCCAGCUAUAUUGGGCCAGUUUUGGAGCAGCUUAUGGGCCAAAACGUGACUGUUCAGAUUUUAGACGAAUUUUAUCAUUUAAUUUAGGGUUAUGUUUCCUAGGGUUUUUGGGGUGGCUUGAAAAAUAUAUUGCUUAGCCGUCUAUAGUUUUAGACUACGCUUUCUUUUAUGCAAUUUUGGAGACAGAGAGAAUUGUUAGGAUUUUGAAGACUUUUUACUUGAAGGUGCUUUCAAUCCUUUUCUUGAAUAUAUUUUCUAUGAUUUCAAUUAUGAAUAUGCGGAACUAAUUUCUUUUGCUAGGGUGAAGCCUUGAGCCUUAUUAUGAAUAAGUGAUUUUUAUUUAAUUGCUUAUGAAAGAUUGCAUGCGUACUUUGAAUUGUUAAUCACCGGGAUAAAAACUAUCUAAUUGUCGUAAUGCCUAAUCACCAUUAGGAUCUUUAGAAAAGUAAUUUGAUGCAAUUUUGGUCGGAAGGUUCCCUGAAAUUGACGCUGGCUUCUUGUGAUUAAUAAUUGUAAUUUCUCUUAGGAUGAAUAUCACGUCUUAAGGAUUGCAUGUUUUUCAAAAGAUUUUCAUAAAGCAUAAUGAGUCUUUCAUGUUUAGAUUUGAUCCGAACGUUCGGACGGGUUGCAUGUUAGAUAUAUGUUCUAUGUUGGAGGUUCCAAGUAGAAUAUGAAUUAGGAAAAUCUAACCUUCAAAGUGGCAUGUGUAAAUUAUAAGUAAUUGGUAAAAAUUCAUAGGAUUGCUAGGUGAUGGUGGAACCCUAGUGCUUUCUUAAUUUUAUUCUCCCAAAACUGUUUUCUUUUCUCUCUAGCUCUAAUAUUGCAGAUUGUUUAUUUUAAUUCAUUAAUUUCGUUUUUAUUUUAAUUAGGUUAUAAAAUCAAUCACUUCAAUUUCUACUUUACAAUAAUUAAAUGGAAUCUGAUUAGUUCGAAUUAUUUAAUAAUCCCUGUGGAGACGACCUUGCGAGAUCCGUUUAUACUACAAUAACCUUGUGAUUCUUGCAAGUAAAAUAGGAGAUUUAAGCCCUUUCACAUGAGUAGUAAAAAUCCUAUCAAGACCAUCUAAGCAUUGUUUCAAGCUCAAAAUUUGAAGCAAUCGUUCAAUCCUUCGUCCGAGAUCAAGUCAUCACGACCCUUAGAUCAACAAUCUACGCAUCUACAUCAAAUUUGAAGACUGAAUCAAAGGAAAAUUGUAAAUAGAGAUUGUAGCCUACAAAUUGAAAUCAAUACAAAUCUUCUUUGUACACGUGCUCUUGUUCCAUUUGAUAUAGAAUUUUCGUGUUUACAAACUUGGCACGCCCUGUGGGACAUCUCUGCCUCUCAUCUCUGUCUUCAAAUCCGCAAGAAGCACAAAUGGCAUCAAGAAUGGAUCAAAUUGUUCCCGCUACCAAUGCAAAGAACAGGAACAUCCUUGCCAUAAGUGGUGGCACUUUGGGCGUCACAACCCAAAGCAAGGCAAUAACUCUCUACCUCUACAUCAACUAUGUCAAAUAAGCAAGAGCACCCGAGGCAUGAGCCCGUGAUCACUUUGGCCUAGCUAAGAGCACCGAGGGAAGAAAGCUUGAGGAGGUACUUCGAGUCGUUGACUUUCGAUACCGACUCAAGCUACAGCUCGUAUCCCAAAGCCAUGCAAGUCAUGACUACUGGUGCAACUUCAAUCGAAGAACAAUUGGCACAAAUGAACGAAGCAAUUGCAAGGCUGACAAGGACUAUAGAAGAGAAUGACUUGCAAAUUGCCACACUCGUCAACCGUCUGGAGGCACAUCAUGAUAGGAAAGCUGACCCAAAAUUUGAUCAGCCAAAGGAGGAAACUGACGAGAAAGAAGAGCCUCUGGUGGAGAAAACUGAGGAGAGGCUAGAGAUGGACCGAGCUGCGACACUCAUGAGGUCUCUUUCUAUCCAACAACUGCAAGAAAUGAUCACAAGCACAAUCAAGGCACAAUAUGAAAAAAGCUCGCAUGAUUCCAUGUUGUAUUCAAAUAUCUACUCUAAGAAGAUUGACACCUUGAGGAUGCCCAAAGGUUAUUGUCACAUCCCGACUCGAGCUCCCACCACAUCUUGGACUCGACUCCGCUGUAGCACAAUAUUGUCCACUUUAGGCCCCGACCACACCCUCACGGUUUUAUUUAUAGGAACUCACACGAGAACUUCCUAGUGGGUCACCCAUCAUGGGAUUACUCUUGCGCGAACUUGCUUAACUUCAGAGUUCCGGUGGAACCCAAAGCUAGUGAGCUCCCAAAAGGCCUUAUGCUAGGUAGAGAUGGGAAUAUACAUAUAAAACUUACAGGAUCCACUCCCCUUGACGAUGUGGGAUGUCACAAUCCACCCCCCUUAAGGGCUCGACAUCCUCGUCAGCACACAUCAGGCCAGAGAUUAGCUCUAAUGCCAAAUUAUCACAUCCUAGCCCGAGCUCCCACCACAUCCCAAUGUCGACUCUGCCAUAGCAUGAUAUUGUCCGCUUUAGGCCCCGACCACGCUUUCAUGGUUUUGUUUCUGGGAACUCACACGAGAACUUCCCAAUAGGUCACCUAUCAUUAGAUUGCUCUCGCGCGAACUUGCUUAACUUUAGAGUUCUGAUGGAACCCUAAGCCAGUGAUCUCCCACAAGGCCUCGUGCUAGGUAGAGCUAAGAAUAUACAUAUAAGGAUUAGAUGAUCCACUCACUUGGCCGAUGUGGGAUGUCACAAUUAUCAAUUGCCCAAAUUCAUGCAAUUCGAUGGAAAGGGCAAUCCUAAACAACAUAUUGCCUAUUUCAUUGAAACCUGAAACCAUGUUGGGAUUUAGGGAGACUACCUCAUCAAGCAAUUCGUGCACUCACUAAAUGGUAAUGCCUUCGAUUGGUACACCAACCUCGAGCCCGAGUCUAUCAACAGUUAGGACCAGCUUAAAAAGGAAUUCCUCAAUCGCUUCUACAACACUCGCCGCACCGUAAGCAUGUUGGACUUGACAAAUACAAAGUAGUGAAAUGAUGAACCUGUCGUCGACUACAUUAACAGAUGGCGUUCAUUAAGUCUGGAUUGCAAAGAUCAGCUUUUUGAAACCUCCGCCAUUGAGAUGUGUGUAUAAGGCAUGCACUGGGGGUUACAUUACAUCCUCAAAAGCAUAAAUCCGAGAACAUUUGAGGAGUUGGCUACUCAAUCCCAUGACAUGGAGCUGAGUAUUGCCAAUCAUAGGAAAAAUGAGCUAAUCACCAACUUCAAGAAGGACAAUGUGUGUGCUUCGAAGAUGGAUAAGACUGGGAAUAAGCCCGCCAAGGAAGCUUUUACUAUCAACACUACCCCUAUCAAGACCUCAUCUGCACCCUUCAAGAUAUCCUCCAAGAACAAAAUGAAGGAGAUGAAGAGAUGUGAGCCUUCUUGCACCCAAGACAGGUACAAAAACACUUUGAGGAAGCUGGAGCAGAAGACGUACCAUUUCCUGACUCUGACGUGGCUGCAAUGUUACAUCAUCCACUUGGUUGCUAAAGGUGACCAAGUCAAGUACAUUAUGUCUAAGCUGGUUCUCACAAGAAGACUAGCUAAAUAGGCAUUACUUCUCAACCAACAUGAGAUCAUCUACGUUUCACCUAAAGCCGUCAAGGGACAAGCCCUAGCAGACUUCCUUGCAGAUCAUCUAAUCAUAGUCAAUUGGAAAAUCUUGAACGACUUGCCUGAUGAUAAGGUGUUCUACAUUGACAUCUUCCAAAUGUGGACAAUGUUCUUCGACGGAUCCGCACGAGCAGAUGGAGCGGGGGUAUGAGUAGUAUCCAUGUCACCACAAAGGACAAAUACUACCCUAUUCCUUCCGAUUAAGCGAGUUGUGCUCCAACAACGUCGCUGAGUACCAAGCGCUGAUCAUUGGAUUCCAAAUGGCGAUCGACAUGGAAAUCACAAUGCUAGAAGUGUAUGGCGACUUCAAGCUCAUAAUCAAUUGACUCUUGACUGAAUAUGAAUUGAGGAAAUAUGAUCUCAUCCCAUACCUUCGGCUAGUAACUUAACUACUACAAACGUUUGAGGCCGUGAAGCUAGAACAUGUGCUAAGAAAAGAAAAUCAAAUGGUGGACGCUCUUGCUAACUUAGCCUUAAGUAUGGCGCUAGGAGAAGACGAAGUUGUAGACGUGCCUGUUUGCCAAAGAUAAGUAAUCCCACUCGCCACUGAAAUGCUACUAAAUGGCACAAACGUCAUCUCAGUACUUCCAAUUAACAUUGAAGAGUAGAGACAACUGCUAAUUGACUAUUUGGAGCAUGGAAAGCUUCCAGACGAUCCUAGGCACCGCUCUGAAAUACGUCGACGAACAUCUCGCUUCCUCUGCUACAAAGGAACACUCUACUGAUGCUCUUUCGAAGGAGUACUUUUAAGAUGCCUAGGUAAGGAAGAAGCUAAUCAAGCAUGGAAGAAGCACACUCAAGCGUAUGCGGAGCGCAUUAGUCUGGAUCAAAGUUGCACUUCCAGCUUAAAAGAAUGGGCUGCUACUGGCCAAGCAUGGUGAAUCAUUUCCUGGAAUAGGCCAAAAGGUGCCAAGCUUGCCAAUUCCACGCCUACUUCAUACAUUAACCGCCUGAGCCAUUACACCAUACGAUUGCUUCAUGGCCAUUUGAUGCAUAAGGAUUGGACAUCGUGGGACCAAUAACACCAAAAUCAUCUACCAGAUAAGCCUACAUCCUAGCCGCAAUAGACUAAUUCUCCAAGUGGGCUGAAGCCGUACCACUAAGGAAACACAAGAAAGAGACUGUCGUCUAUUCAUCAAAGAGCAUAUCAUGCAUCGAUAUGGUGUGCCUCGCUACAUCAUCACCGACAACGGAAAACAUUUCUCCAACCGACUCAUGGACGAGCUCUGCAAGAUUUACAAAUUCAAGUAGCACAAGUCUUCCAUGUAUCAUGCUCCGGCCAACAGUCUUGUGGAAGCAUCCAACAAAACGAUGUGAAACCUCUUGAAAAAGGUGAUCGGCUGAACAAAGAGAGACUGGCAUGAAAGAAUAAGCAAAACACUUUGGGCAUAUAGGAUGACACAUAGAACUCCUACCCAAGCUACGCCUUAUUCUCUCGUUUAUGGCGUGGAAGUUGUUCUACCACUCAAAAGUCAAAUCCCCUCACUAAGGAUGGCAAUACAAGAAGGUUGACUAAAAAGAAAAAUGCAAAGCUACGACUUCAAAAGUUGGAAGCACUCGACGAAAGGAGGUUCGAAGCUCAACAACACUUGGAAUGCUACCAAGCGCGGCAAUCCAAGGCAUUCAACAAGAAAGUCCACCCAAGGUCUUUCCAAACUGGAAAUCUUGUCUUGGCAUUACGAAGGCCUAUCAUCAUAACUCAUAAGACAAAAAGCAAGUUCAUAUCAAUGUGGGAUAGACUUUACAUAUACAAAAGGUCUACACCAACGACGCCUACUUAAUCAUGGUAGAAGAUGGCUUAAAGAUCGGUCACAUCAAUGGUAAAUUUUUGAAGCGUUACAACCCUUAAGCCAAACACCCAAUGCUUUUCGCCUGCAUGAGCCUAAACUACACAGGCAUAAUGCUCCUUGUUCGCAUGAGCUUAAAAGGCAACACUCAACGCUCCUUGUUUGCAUGAGCUUAAAAGGCGACACUCAAUACUCCUCGCCUGCAUGAGCUUAAACCGCACACGGCACAACACUCCUUGUUCGCACGAGUUUAAAAGGCGACACUCAACGUUCCUUGUUAGCACGAGCUUAAAAGACGACACUCAAUGCUCCUCUCCUGUAUGAGCCUAAACUGUAUACAACAACAAUGCUUCUUGUUCGCAUUACCUUAAAAGGUGACACCUAACACUUCUUGUUUGCACAAGUUUAAAAUGUGACACCCAACGCUCCUGACUCGCAAGAACAUAAACUGUGUAUGGCAAAAUCAAACACUAAAAUCACCAUCAAAACCAUAAAUAAAAAAAAUAAAUAAUAAUAAUAAUAAUAAUAAUAAUAAUAAUAAACAAUCCAUCACUCAUUUGAACUACGUCUUGACUUCAUCCCUAUUCAACCGAGCGUAUGUAGGCAACUUCAAACUUCAAAACUUCAAGUACAGUCACAUCAUCAGCAAAAAACACAAACACUUUGAAGAAUAAAGAGCAAAUUCAAGAAUGUGAAUACUUUAUUUUUUUAAAGGAAGAAUUUGGCUACAAAGCCUUAUUACAAAAUGAGCAAAAACAAAGAAGGUUUCAAGCACAAAAAAUAAAAGACACUACUUGAGAGCUAUGUCCCUAAAACUACGAUGAUGAUCUUCAAGCAAGCCUUCCAAAGUCUUCAAAGUCUCUACAUCGGUAGGAGACAAGGUGGGCAUUUCCAUGGCUGCGCCUUUCUCUUGCUCUUGGCAUGAAAUCUCCUCUUGAGGCUGAGAAAAUGUAGUUUCCUGCUCUGAGAGAACACCAUGAAGUUGUGAUGCUUCGGUUUCCAACUGCUCUCGCUCACGCGCCAACGCUUCUAAACGUGCUUGGACGAAAGCCAAAGAAGUCCAUGUAGCUUGAUAACCUUCUGAAGCAGCUUGCUGAGAAAACCGAACUUGCGCAAUUGAUAAGUAUAUUGCUGCAAGUUGUUGAGCUCUAACCUUUGGACUCAACUUUUUCAAUGAAAUAGCAUUCAAGGAAGAAUACUUAGUAGAGGUGGCCACAAGUUCGGCAAUCUUGACUCUCAAGAGCGAGGAAUCAACGUUAAGGUUAUCAGUCAUAGAAACAAGUCUGACAAGUCCUCCUUGAGAAACGCAUGGUCUUCCAAUGGGCACUUCACAAUCAUCUUCUCAAUAUGGCUCGUGAUGUCCAUAGCUAUGCUAAGGCUAAUGCAAUGGAUGAGCUGCUCAGUUCCACUGAGGUUUGACCCUCUAAGAGAGAUCUUAGAGCUAGCUGACAAAUGUGUUGGACGCAUGACAGACUCUUGCAUACCUUCACCUACACAUCGCAAACUUGGGCAACUUGGCGGAUUUGGAAUAAGCUCUACAUCGGGCAGAUCCCCAAUCUCCUUGUCUGUAGGUAGAUUGCCUCCAAAUAUCAUCUCCGUAAAGGAAUGAACGCCCAUGUUCGCCAAGUCAAAAGAACAAGAAGGCCCAGCCUAAAGAAGACAAAGAAAUGUGUUAGAAAUAAAAAGCUAAACCAAUAAUAAUAAUAAUAAUAAUAAUAAUAAAAGAAAUCAUAAGAAAAAAAUAAAUACAUACAUCUUUCUCAAGUGACACAUGACCAUCAACCUGAGGAGGCCUAAACACUUUCUUCUUUUUAUGACAGAAAUUAACGUCGUUGUCAUCCAAAGCACCUUCAAGCAGUCGUUUGUUCAAAACUUGUUGACAUUAUCGCAAAACAAGUUCAUCCUUAUGCGAGUCAACUUUGUCACCCACCUCUUUAGAAGCAUCCAAAUGAUGAGAAGACAAACACGGGUAUUAAGGAGCUAAAGCCACAGGUCCAUCUUACGAAUGAGCUGCUUUCGCAUAAUCAAAAGGUGCCAACUACGUAGGAACCACAGAAUAACCCUCUCUCAGUGCAUCAUUGCGUGAACGAGAAGAAUUGGCACCACUUAUUAUCCCUAAGUCUUCACGAUAUACCUUUGACCACCAACCUACAUAGGCAAGGGUCACUGGAUUACUUUUGAACUUGUCUUUGGUUGGCAGGGUGAUAGAAGUAUUUGUGCAUGAACGGGUACAAGACUCCCAAUGCAUAUACACGGCUUGUAAGGAUUCUGGUUGUGUGUUUUCCUUUAACUUGCCUACCACAUGUUGGACAAAACCAAAUUGCCUACUAAAAUAGUAAGGGCUAUACGGCUGAACAAUACAUUAGUCUCCUUGCCGCAAAGAAACAUACCCCGAGAAAAGACUUGUAAGAUAAAACAAGUCUGAGAAACGGAGGUGCGGAUCAUCGAUGAGGCCUCGCCUCGCCGCGCUAAGCCAACCUUAGCUAGAUGGUCCAUUUUCAAACCUUCACAACUUCUAAACAAUACCUAAGCCUGUAAAUCAUUAAGGCUCUUUGCAGAAAGCACGCCAGAGUACUUUGUCAUCAAAGGCCCCAGCUUGGCCGAAGUUGGUGAAAAAGGCUUCGACUUGUCCAAAGUCGAAGAAGAAAAAUGAGUGCCAAAGUACUCACCUAACCAACUGUACACAUAGUGGUAGUGAAGUAUUGCAGCACGAUCUUCAGUGCUCGCUGAGUUCAAAACAAUACUCAAGCCAUUGUAAAUAUUGGCUAAAACCGGAAUAGCAAGGCUGAAAGAUUCACUCGCAGCCAUCUUGCUAGCCACUUUGAAGACGUCGGGACAGAUAAGGUUGAUGUCGUCUUUUUGGGGAAAACAAACUUACAAAGCCAACAAGUUAAGAAAGCCGUUAGGUAAGAUUCCUCCACGUGCACUUUCAAUUCAGCAGGGGAAUGGUGCUUAGCUGAACCAAUGACACUUGACGGGUCUGAGUCACCCUUUGGCUUAGUAGUCUUAUUGUGGCCAAAAGGUUUCUUGUACUUCAUGGAAUCCCAAUACCAAAAUCGGAUCCAUGAAGAAAUCUUCACGCCUAACCUACCCUGAGCUUCCUAGGAAAGCUUAUGAUACGCCCAAAAUAAAGAACAGCAACUUGCAGGCAAUCCUCGACUAUUGUGAUGAGAAAAUUCCUCCAUGCUAAGAAUAACCUCAUUGUAAAACAUACCCUGUAUCGGCAAGCCUCUUAUCUUGUGGAGAUCCCAAAGUGAAAUCGACAUCUCCUCUUGUGAUGUGUUAAGUGUGUUGGUCGCUGAACACUAAUGCUCAAAGAAUGCACGAAGGACGAAAUGAUGGCGAUCAUAACUAAACAAAGAUGCGUACAUAGCGUGAUAAAGGCCCACGUUGGUAAGCAAAUCUUUGGUUAGGCUCAAGACAUCUUCAAGCCACUCCCAGUAAAACUCAAUAAAGAUAGCUUUUCCAUAGUUGGCAAAGUGCUACUCCAAGUCACAGCUUCGCUACAGAUGAGAUCACCAAGAAGCUCAAACAAAGCCGGUGAAUUGUCACGAACAUGGUGUGAGGGAUACAAGACAAGAAUCCUCGAUGUACACGCCUUCUUUUUCGUAUUUGGUAGACCAAAAUCUAUCACCUCCCAAGAUAGUUUAGAAGACCAUGACUUGAUAUGCAUCGAGUUGUCUUUCGCAGAAAGAACAAACGCCUUAAGGCCAGUUAACGGCGCACAAAGUUUCAACGUCAUUCCUUUAUCUUGCGAAUCGCCUUCCUCCAGUGAGUACCUUUUGAGCAUCAGGAGUGUUGUACUACGCAAAAAACUGAUCAGCCUUAUAGAUCCAAGCAAGUGGGUUGUGGUCUUCAGUGAAGUGAGGAAAAUUAACCCGAAGGGCCCAUGGUGGUCGAUGUGUUUGGCCACCACCAGUCUUAUUUGGGUUACAAGGGAACUGGAUCUGGUCCAAAUCACGCGUCGGUGAAACCCAGAGUGGAGGAGCCCUCCCUCUCCCCCUCACUACAAGCAGCAGUUUCAUGGUAGAAUUGCUCGAAAUACACCGGAAGGUGAUGUUCAAGAGUCGACGGAAGCUAAGUGGUGAAAGCAUCGGAGAUAGCAGAGUGAGCGGAAGAGUUCACCGCAUCUACAAGCCUGGUAGAAAGGUUAGUAAUGGUGGUCUCUAGAGCAGAAACACAAGCAUCCAUGGUAGUGGUGCAAGUAGUAACGUGUGAUAGGGCACACACGAGGAAGGGAGCCAGGAUCAGUGGGUGAUACCAAUGUUAGUACCCCAGUAAUGUAGGUCGACCUUGACCUGUGUUAAUGGAGGUGAUCACUCAUAUAUUUCAUGCAUUUAUACCAUCCAUUUCUAAAGUUUUUGUGAUGUUUUUGUGUUAAAAUUGUGGCAUUUUACCUCACCUUGUGUUAAUGUGCAGUUAAUUUUGUUUUAGGAUCAAUUUCAAGCAAAAUUGAGAAAAGAAAUAAAAAAAAAACUGAACAGAAAAUAAAUGGGACGGAAAGGAAGACACUGAGCAGAAAACAAAGGGAGUGGAGAGACUAAAGGACACAGACUGAGUGAAAAACAAAAGAAAAGAAUAAUAAGAGAGGAAGUGGGAGAGACACGGAAACAUAAAGAAAGGCCAGUGCGCAAAGAGAGUGGAGGACAGACUGAGUGCACAGAGAGGAGUGCAGGACACGGGGACAGACGCAGACAAAGAAGAGUGGAUAGACCGAAGAAAAGGGAAACUGAGGGCGCGAAUAAAAAAAAACUGACAGAGGAAUAAAAAAGGAAGUGAGAAGAGAGAGAGGAAAAAAAAAAAACGGCAGAGAGCAAGGAAGGAAAGAAUAAGAAGCUUCACUCUAUUUUUCUUGGUUUUAUCUUCUCAAACCCAUGUUUUACUUUUGGUUUAAUUUGAGAAUUAUGUGUAACUAAAUUUUAAGUAGUUAGGGGCUGUUUUGAAGCCCCGAAUAUGAUUGCAAGUUUGUUAUGACAUUUCAUUGAAUUGCUUUUAUGAAUUGAUGAAAAUUGGUUUACUACUUAUGUCAGUGAUGAAUUCUUUAUAUGUUUUCUAUGGAUGCAUACUUAGUAAGCAUAUUUAGGAUUCAAAUGCUAUGAAUAUAUGUAUGCCUGCCCUUGUUGAAUGAGGACCUACAUAUGUUCUAGAGUAGUACUUGUUAAUUGCGAUUAACAUGUGAACCAAUUUCUAGGAUAAGUAAGACAUUGCCAGUACUUACCAUGCCUUGUGAUGACUGAAACUCUUUUCGUUCUUAAUGAUUUUUACUUGUUAAAUCUAUGAACACGCCAUUCUAGAUUGCAUGCUAGGGACUACGUUAAGUUGAAAACGUCAUUCUCUUAACAUACUACGUAAGAAAGAGUAAUAGGUUGUGUUCUAACAUUGAGCCAACUUGAGCAUCUUCAUCCGGAAAUAAAAGGAAUUUGAAUGAAACAUAACAUGUUUGCAUGAUUAUUUGGUGGUGGAUAACAAUUCCCCUAACUCGUUUUUCUCAAACUUGUGAUCUACUCAAAAUCUGUUUCUGUACUGUUUUUGUACGAUUUAAUUUAAAUAGAAAAUCAACUCCAAAAAUCCCAAAAAUUUGUGAGACUGUCGUACUGUGUGUCUAGUAUUUGCAUAUAAAAUUUAAUAGACUUUAGACCAGUGUAAGUCAGUCUAAUAAUUAUUUUUUGGUGGCUGGUCAGUAGGGACAUCAACCAGUUUUUGUGACAUUUUAAGUAGUUAGAUAAAACAAUCUUCUGCGAGAAAGACCCUUAUUUUCAUAUGCUACAAUUGACAAAUCCUAGUGUUAAUAAGGAAAAUUAAUAGGAUAUUUGUGUGCUACUUUGUGGUGUGCUUUUAAUCCUAUCAGGAGGAAUGGCAAGUAUAGAGACGGAGGAAAAAGAAGACUAAUAAAAAAGUAAAUUUUGAUUCAAUUCAUAUGUGACUGUUGCCACCACAAACGUGGGGAAUUUAACAACCUUUUUGGUAGCUCACCGAGUGUGUGAGCUCCAACUCAACACUAAAGGACAAAACCUAUUUAAAUGACUCCCUAUACUCAUCACUAUUAUAAUAAAAUGGCUCCCUAUAUUUAAAUGAGCUCCAACCCUUCCAUUACAAUUUCAUCCUAAUCCUUUGUGAUUAAGGGAAUCACAAUUAUAAGGAACAUAACAAUCUUUUUGUUUAUCUAUGGCAUCUGUUGGAGGUGUUGUGUUGGGAGUUUUUUUGCUUGCCCUUAUCUUCUUCUAGAUCCAUGCAGAUGGUCAUCCGUUUGGCUCACUAGUGCAGCAAUGGUGAUGAAUACUUCAACUGUUUCUCUACGGCUAAGGUUUUGUUGUUCUUUGGGCUUUGUUUUUGUUUGGGCCUAAUCUCUGUUUAUUGGGCCUUGUUUCAUUUCCUUUGUAUUUUCUUUGUUUGUUGAAUGAAAAGUUCACUUGUCAAAAAUAAAAAAUAAAAUCACCGUACAUAAACAACAAAUUCACACUAUCAUAGGAAGGGGAAUUGAAAAUGUAGAAACGUACAUUAACCAUGUAGUUUUAUAAAUAUACAGAGGUACGGAUUAUAGAAAUAUAAAUAAACAUAAGUACAGAAUUAUCGAUAUAUAAAUGUACAUAGAUACAAUAAUAUAGAAUAAAUAUACAUAAGUACAAAAAUAUAGAUACAAAAGUGCAUCUAUAUACACUCAUAUAAAAGUAAAUAGGUACAAAAAUAUCCAGAUACUAGAUAUACACCUCUUUGUAGAUACAUCACCCUUGAAUAGGUUACCAAGGGGUUUGUGAACUUUAAUCCUAGAUAAAUAUCGUAAUGUAAUUAAAAUCUAGUGUUAUAUUACAUAUUGCUUGUAGUCAUUUAAUGUGUGCUUUAAUUCUAAUUCAAAUUCAUAUUCAGCUUUUAUUUUAAUAUAUAUGUGGGUACUAUAUUGUCUACCAUUAAAUAUUUGAAUUUAUUAAUAUACACAUCUUAAUUUAUUAAUUUUGUUUAGUAUCCUUUAAUUAUGUCCCUAUAAAUGUACCUAAAUGAGAGAGACUUCAAAAUAAUAAUAAUAAUAAUAAUAGUGACACGUAAGUAAAAUAUGCAAAAUACAUAAGUGUACUGAAAAUAUAUUAAAAUAAAUUUGAUGUACCUAAAUAUAUGUCCCGAAAUAUAUUAUAAUGAAUUCAUGUACCUAAAUGUAUGUACCAAAUAGUUGUACUAAAAUGUAUGCACAGAAAUGUAUUGUAUCAAACUAACAUACCGAAUUAUCAGUACCAAAAUAUAUUAUAUUGAAUUAAUGUACCUAACCUAAAUGUCUAUACCAAAAUAUAUUAAAUUAAUUAACGUACCUAAAUGAAGAACACAAAAUGUAUUGAAAUAUAUUAUAUAAAAAAAUUUGUUUACCUAAAUGUCAACAGAAAAAUAUAUUAUGAUGAAUGAAAUGAAAAGUUAGAUUAAAUGUAAUUAAUACAUUAAAAUAUGAAAGAAGAAGAAAAAAAUAAAACAUAAAAAUAUAUAUAAUAAAUGAGACGAUUAAAUGUAUCAAUAGAUUAAAACUAGAUUAAUCUUACAUAAGGUUUUAGUCUAAAGUCAUCUUUUCUAAGGAUUAGAAUUAAGUUUUCUACAUGUUUGGUUUUUUUUUUUCUUUUAUCAACUAUAUAUUACGAUUAAAUAAAAUAUUAUGAAUAUUAUGGGGUCUUUGAACACCCUUUUUAUCAGUCUAAAGUCAACAUGACGAAAAUAUUUUUGAAAAAUUAUUUUACACACUAUUUUUCUCAUUCUACAACUGUCACAGCCCGUUCCAAAAUAUUACAUUCGUGGCUGUGAAUGGACGAAAUUGCCCUUAAGAAAUACUAAGUAUGUGAAGCUCAAGUUGAUAAUUAUCUAAGUUCCUAAGUUUUGAAAAUAAAAUGGAAUUUAAUAAGGAUGGAACUUAGAUUUUUAGGUUAAAAUUUUGUGGUUUAGAGUUGGGGAUUGGAAAAGGACCACGUGGGAUCCCCAUUCCUUAUUUCCCUCCCCAUUUCCCGUAUACUGUCCUUCACACUCUCUCUCUCUCCUCCCUCACGAUUACUCUCAGUUCUCUCUCCCUCUCCUUCGAACUCACACGGACCACCACAAAACCACCUAAAACCUAUACCAACGACGAAUCUAACACCACCAUUGGAACCCUGAAGACUUCACGAUCACGAUGGUAUCCAUUUCAAGUAAGUUUUGCUUCGGAAAACCCUAGUUUCAAAGUUCCCGUGAAAUGGUACUGUUCAUGAUCUUUUAAAUGGUUACGAUUUAGGCUAAAACAAGAUCACAGCGAGCUUGGUGAGGUCCCAAGGAAGCUCGGAGUGCUUCGUUGGAAGUUUUUGGACGUAAGAACACGGAGAUCGACAAGUUCAAAGUUUGGCCGGAGCUUUCGAGGCUUUUUCCGGCGAAUCCCCGGCGAGUUAGGAGUCGAGGUAGGUAUCAAUCUCUUCGUCUCGUCAAGUACUACAACUUUCCUUUUUGUUUCACUCAAUUUAGUUGAGUAUUGAAGAAGUUAUACUCAUUUGAAAAAUACCCAGUUUCCGGCGACCUCCGAGGCUUUCGAGGCAGUUUCCGGCCAAAAAACGGCAAACUAGGUGUUGUGCAAGGUACCAUUCUCUUUGUAUAUUCAAGGGCUACAACUUUCGUUUUUGAAUCACUUGAUUUCGUUGAGAAAUGACAAAGUUAUGGCAAUUUGAAAAACUGCCCAGAAAACGGCCGCCGGAAAAACCAGUCCGGCGACCCAAGGAAGAAGAAGGUGCUACAGUAAAAAUAAAAAAUAAAAAUAAAAUUAUUUUAAAAAUAUGUCGACGUCCGUGACGUCGAGUAGAUCACUGUGGUAUAUUCAUAUACCUAAAUUGAACACCGUAUGAGAAAGUUAUUGAGGAUUGUUGGUUAGGUGUUCAAAUAACGUUUUAUAGUUUUCACAUUUAGGUGAAAAUGUGAAUUGAUGAUCCGACCGUUGGAUCAUCACCAAACUUUGAUACGUUGUAAUACGUAAUAUUUUGAGGAUUAUUGGAACUUACGGAUUGGGAAUCCGAGUUACGGAUCUUCCGGAAUUGGAAUUGUAAGUCCAUAAUAUAAAAUGUUAACCGUCACUUAGUUUUGGAAAUUGACGGAGAUCCGACCGUUGGAUGGUAAUGAAAUUUUAGGAUGUUAUCCUAGAGAUAUAUUGUGGACCUCUGGAAGUUAUGGAUUUAAAAUCUGAGUGGCAGAUCUUCCGGAUCGAACUACGUAGUGACGUAUUUUAUAUAAGUUAUAUAUUCUAUCGAUAUGAAUUCUGAGGUUGGAUUUGAUUACUAUUCUAGGCGGCGAUCGUCGUGACGCCUUGAUGUGUGGUGCUAGGGAGUUGUUGGACGAACUCCAGGUGAGUGGGCAGUUUUGUUUUCCGUAUAUAUAUAUAUACUUAUACGUUUUUUCCCAGAAAUUGAAAAUGCAUGAAAUUAUGUUUUAAAAUGAAAUGCAUAUGAGUUAUGUGGAAAAACGGGAAGUGAAAUACCAUGCAUAGAAUUGAUAUGAAAAAAGUAUAUAGAAAUGUGAGUUGAAAUGCCAUGCAUGAAUUAAUAUAUGAUGCAUAUGUAUGAAUUGGUGCGGUGGACGCACAGGUAAGAAUUGAUUUAUGAUGCAUAUGUAUGAAUUGGUGCGGUGGACGCACAGGUAAGAAUUGAUUUAUGAUGCAUAUGUAUGAAAUGGUGCGGUGGACGCACAGAUGAGUAUUUAAUUACUGUUAUGAUGAUGAUGAUAUAUAUUGAGCUCAAAUCCUGCACCAUGGUUUAGUGCUUAUAGUAUUCACCGCAUCGCACGCUCGCCUUGGAUCCAAGUAGAUGCUAGUCGUACAGUCCACGCGGAGUGGGUACGACAGACCAGUCGCGAGAGUGUUAGUGAGAUUCCGACUGGUGGGUGACCUUAGAUUAUGUGCACAGAUGAUUUAUGAGAAGCACUAGAGCGUAACUUGUGUGCAGAAGGCCGGACGGGUCACAGAGGUGACUCCGGUAGAGUGAUAAUGAUAGAUUUUGAGCUCUAGGUUCAACCGUAUAGGGCUAUUAGAGGGCCUACGGUUGAUUACUUUCUUGCACCUGAUAUGAUUAUGUUGAUGCAUUCAUACCUUAUUACUGUUGAGAUGAUGUGGCAUGGCAUAAUUAAUAUGAGAAAUGUUGAGAUGACAUGGCAUGGCAUGAUUGAUAAAGAGAUAAUGUUGAGAUAGUAAAAAAUGAAGUUUUGAGAAUAUAUAUGUAUAUUUAUAUUUUACAUUUCUGGGAAAGUAUACAGGUUUUACGGAGAGGGGUUACAACGUUUUGAGAAAUGUUUGGAUUUGGAAAAGAAUUGUUUUACUGACCCACUCAAUUUUGGUUUUGCGCCCCUCCAGGUUCAGGAAUCACAAAGGUGUGGUGACUACGAGGAAUUCGACGGUGUUCUGACAGAUUGGACAAAAUUAGGACUCACCUUCGGGUGUAUCAACUUAUAAAUUAUAUCUUAAAGCUUCCGUACUGUGCAAAUGGUUACGUCACUCUCACGUGACGGCCUCAGAACACCGUCGAAUUCCUCGUAGUCACCACACCUUUGUGAUUCCUGAACCUGGAGGGGCGCAAAACCAAAAUUGAGUGGGUCAGUAAAACAAUUCUUUUCCAAAUCCAAACAUUUCUCAAAACGUUGUAACCCCUCUCCGUAAAACCUGUAUACUUUCCCAGAAAUGUAAAAUAUAAAUAUACAUAUAUAUUCUCAAGACUUCAAGUCGUUAACUCAACAUUUUCAUACAAUUAUGCCAUGCCACAUCAUCUCAACAUUUCUCAUAUUAAUUAUGCCAUGCCACAUCAUCUCAACAGUAAUAAGGUAUGAAUGCAUCAACAUAAUCAUAUCAGGUGCCAGAAAGUAAUCAAUCGUAGGCCCUCUAAUAGCCCUGUACGGUUGAACCUAGAGCUCAAAAUCUAUCAUUCUCACACUCUGCCGGAGUCACUCCGCGUGACCUGUACGGCCUUCUGCACAUAAGUUACGCUCUAGUGCUUCUCAUAAUCAUCUGUGCACAUAAUCUAAGGUCACCCACCAGUCGGAAUCUCACUAACACUCUCCCGACUGGCCUGUCGUACCCACUCCGCGUGGACUGUACGACUAGCAUCUACUUGGAUCCAAGACGAGCGUGCGAUGCGGUGAAUACUAUAAGCACUAAACUAUGGUGCAGGAUUUGAGCUCAAUAUACAUCAACAUCAUCAUAACAGAAAUAAAUACUCACAUGUGCGUCCACCGCACCAUUUCAUACAUAUGCAUCAUAAAUCAAUUCUUACCCGUGCGUCCACCGCACCAAUUCAUACAUAUGCAUCAUAAAUCAAUUCUUACUUGUGCGUCCACCGCACCAAUUCAUACAUAUGCAUCAUAAAUCAAUUCUUACCUGUGCGUCCACCGCACUAAUUCAUACAUAUGCAUCAUAUAUUAAUUCAUGCAUGGCAUUUCAACUCACAUUUCUAAAUACUUUUCAUAUCAAUUCUAUGCAUGGUAUUUCACUUCCCGUUUUUCCACAUAACUCAUAUGCAUUUCAUUUUAAACAUAUUUUCAUUUCAAUUCAAUUUUUGGGAAACGUCAAGUAUAUAUAUAUACGGAAAACAAAACUGCCCACUCACCUGGAGUUCGUCCAACAACUCCCUAGCACCACACAUCAAGGCGUCACGACGAUCGCCGCCUAGAAUAGUAAUCAAAUCCAACCUCAGAAUUCAUAGUGAUAGAAUAUAUAACUUAUAUAAAAUACGUCACUACGUAGUUCGAUCCGGAAGAUCUGCCACUCAGAUUUUAAAUCCAUAACUUCCAGAGGUCCACAAUAUAUCUCUAGGAUAACAUCCUAAAAUUUCAUUUCCAUCCAACGGUCGGAUCUCCGUCAAUUUCCAAAAAUAAGUGACGGUUAACAUUUUAUAUUAUGGACUUACAAUUCCAAUUCCGGAAGAUCCGUAACUCGGAUUCCCAAUCCGUAAGUUCCAAUAAUCCUCAAAUAUUACGUAUUACAACGUAUCAAAGUUUGGUAACGAUCCAACGGUAGGACUCACCUUCGGGUGUAUCAAUUUAAAUUGUAUCUUAAAGCUUCCGUACUGUGCAAAUGGUUACGUCACUCUCACGUGACGGCCAGCAUGCCCUCCUUCGGGACGGGGUGUGUCAGUUGGUAUCAGAGCAUGGUUGCAAUCUUGGACAUUUUGAGAAGUUCUAGUGAAUUCUGUCAGAACUACACCGCCUCGUAGCAAACCACGUAGUUAGAGGAACUUAGUCUCCCUGAUUUAGCGGGUUAGGGGAAACUAUUCUUAUGGUGAUUCAGUAUAUUAGAAAAAUGGACAUUUUAAGACGGGUUAUGAGUUGAAUUUGAAUCACUUAAGAGAAAUGAUGAACCUGAGGGAACAAAGUGACGGAUUAACCAAUUGGAAAAGAUGUUUCGGAAUAUGCAAGUCAAAGGAAUCUUCCUUCUGACAAGGGGUCGAGACGACUACCUGGUUUUGGUUAUGAAUUUGUAUCCUGGUGGAAACAGGAGUAUGAAUUGUUGUCACCAGAGGAAUCAGUCGAUUGAGAAUAGUUUAAGGAAUAUUUAUAUUUUACAUUUCUGGGAAAGUAUACAGGUUUUACGGAGAGGGGUUACAACGUUUUGAGAAAUGUUUGGAUUUGGAAAAGAAUUGUUUUACUGACCCACUCAAUUUUGGUUUUGCGCCCCUCCAGGUUCAGGAAUCACAAAGGUGUGGUGACUACGAGGAAUUCGACGGUGUUCUGACAGAUUGGACAAAAUUAGGACUCACCUUCGGGUGUAUCAAUUUAAAUUGUAUCUUAAAGCUUCCGUACUGUGCAAAUGGUUACGUCACUCUCACGUGACGGCCAGCAUGCCCUCCUUCGGGACGGGGUGUGUCAGUUGGUAUCAGAGCAUGGUUGCAAUCUUGGACAUUUUGAGAAGUUCUAGUGAAUUCUGUCAGAAACUACACCGCCUCGUAGCAAACCACGUAGUUAGAGGAACUUAGUCUCCCUGAUUUUUAGCGGGUUAGGGGAAACUAUUCUUAUGGUGAUUCAGUAUAUUAGAAAAAAUGGACAUUUUAAGACGGGUUAUGAGUUGAAUUUGAAUCACUUAAGAGAAAUGAUGAACCUGAGGGAACAAAGUGACAGAUUAACCAAUUGGAAAAGAUGUUUCGGAAUAUGCAAGUCAAAAGGAAUCUUCCUUCUGACAAGGGGUCGAGGACGACUACCUGGUUUUGGUUAUGAAUUUGUAUCCUGGUGGAAACAGGAGUAUGAAUUGUUGUCACCAGAGGAAUCAGUCGAUUGAGAAUAGUUUAAGGACUUGUUUAAAGGAAAAGUUUAUCCCUCCGGCAUUUAUCGAUGGUAGUAAACAAGAGUUUACAAAUAUGAGACAAGGAAGGUGAUGAUCGAGAGGAUAUUAUAGAAAGUUUUCAGAUUAGCCUCGUUCCAUCCAGAUAUUGUUUGUUAAUUUGGUGGAGGUGUUAUGUUGUUUUAAGCUGCUGGGUGACAAAAGGGAAGUGGUAUUUGGGUGACCACUAUCCAUUGUAGUUCUUAUCAGGAGUAUGCUAGAUGUUUGUUGAAUCUUGAGGACUCUGAGAACAUGAGCAACGAGAAUAAAGAAGAAUAAGAAAUGAAUGGGAAUUAAAAGAAGACGAUAAAGUUAAUGAUUCGUCAUAUCAAGGAUAUAGAAAGAUUCAGAGCUUCGAAAGAAGUGAAGCUAGAGUUAAUUCUUCCAGCUGAGGUUUUAAUGUCGCUGGUCAGAAUAAAAGUGAUGGAUAUACUGGUAAUCCCAGAUAUUUGAGACAAGGUGUCUCGAGUAAAGGAAAUGUACCUUGUGCUGCAGGUACAAAAAUUAACACUUUGGAAAGUGUGAAAUUAAUGAAUGUGUUUAUGUGAACAGAGGGGACACAGAAUUGUGAAUCGUCCCUAGAAUCAGUUGUACUCAAUAAUUUUCCAUGAUAUCAUAGUGUCGAUUCAGAAGAGUUAUAAACUUAGUAGUUUGGUCAGAUUGACUGUGAGUACAGAGAGAUUUGAUGAGUUAUAUGUUCAGCCGUACAGGCCACGAGAAGUGGAUUCGAUUGACACAUGCGAAAUUGGUGAGUUAUAGGCUCGGCCGUACCGACCACGCGGAGUGGAUCCGGCCGACGUAUUAUUUGAGAUAAGAGUUGAAUCAACCGUAUUGGUCAUUCUAGUUGACUUCGGCUGAUAUAUUUCUUAUGAUGUAUGUUAUUACCUAGAGAGUAGUAAAUAAAUGUAGUUGAGACGAGUGUAUGUAUUUUGCAUUGAGUGACAAAAUAGUAAUGUUAUAUCUUUGUGAGUGGUUGCCUACUUAUCGAGACAACGAUGAUUUAUCAGUAUUGCGGGCUGCAGACCGUAAUAUUAAUAACUCAUUCGUGGAUUCGUUAAGUAAGUAAACCGGUAGAUUAUUUUGUACUUAUUCAGAAUGCUUAGUAGUAAUAGAAUAUAUAUUGUAUCAGUUAAUUAUGUUCCAUUAGAUUGGUUGGUUAUAAUUGUGACAAGACGAAAUGUUAUGGGAAACCAGUACUUUCCAUCGAUCUGGAUGAACAGAGAUUACUUUUGUAAGUAUGCAAAAUGGAUUGAGUCAGGCUGUUAUUUAUGCUGUGUGAGAGCAAAGAGAUUGUUUUCGAAAGGCUGUAAAAAAUACUUAGCUCAUGUGGUGCUAAAUGAUGUUGUUUGGAGUAGUGUGAAUAAUGUCGAAAGAGUUAGACUUUUCUUGAUGUCUUCCUUGAAAGUAUACCUGGAUUGCCUUCAGGCAGAGAUAUGAGGUUCAUUAUUGAUUUGUUGCCAGGUAUAAAUUUAUAUUGGAGAUUGGUUCAUGAUGAGUUAAGGGAAUUGGAAAUUCAGUUGAGGGAAUUGGUUGAUAAAAGUUUUAUUCAACCUAGUACAACACUUUUGAGGAGCCCCAGUUUGUUGGUGAGGAAGAAAAUGGAUCUUGAGACUGUUCAUUGAUUAUAGACAAUGGAGUCGGGUAACGAUUGAGAACCGUUAUCCAUGGUGAUGUACUGAUGUUUAUUUAACCAGCUCAGAAGUAAUUGCGAAGAUUCAAAGAUUGAAUUGAGAUCUGGUUACUACCAAUUGAAUAUUAUAAGUGACGUUGAUCAUAAGAUGGUUUCUGGACUUGUUAUGGUCCUUAUAAAGUUUGGUGAUGCUAUGUGGAUACUCAUGCGGUUUUAUGAAUUAUUGGAUGAAGUAUUCCAAUAAUGCCUUGAUAAAUAGAUAUCAUUUUCAUUGAAGAUAUUCUGGCAUAUUCUGAGCCAGAGCAGAGCAUGUAAACGUAUUAAGUCGGUAGAACAAAGAUUGGAAGAAUGUCGAUUGUAUGCUAAGUUUAGCAAAUGCGAAUGUUGGAUGAAUCAAGCAGCAUUUCUGGGAUAUGUUAUAUAUUCUUAAGGUAUUCAAGUGAAUCCUUAAAAGGUAACAGAAAUUAAAAUUUGGAACAACCACGAGUCGUAAUUGAGAUUUGGAAUUUCUUAGCUUACCAGGCUAUCUUGGAUGGUUGUGAAAGAUUUUUCAGUCAUUGCUUUGUCAUUGAUGAGACUGUUGAGAAAAGAGGUUAGGUAUGAGUGGGAAGGAAUUGUAAGCAAAGGAUUCAACAACUGAAGUAUUUCCUCACUCAUGCACGUAUUUUGGUAUUCCCAGAGAAUAGUGGUAAUCAUAAAUUUUUAGUGAUGUUUCUUGAAUGGUAUUGGAGGCAUGUUGAUGCAAAUGUUAGGGUGAUUGCAUACGUUUCACGAUAAAUGGAAUCUCAUAAGAUGAAUUACCCUACUGGUGAUUUGGAAGUCACGAUUACCAUUCUUGCUGUGAAGUUAUGGAGACAUUAUAUUUUAGUGGGAAUGCAAGAUUUUUUUUUUUACGAAUCCAAAAAGUCUUCAAUAUCCAUUACUUGGAAGGAUUUGAUAUGAGGCAGCGAAAGUGAAUUGUAUUGCUUAAUGAACAUGAUUGUACGAUCAGGGUGAUCGUAAAGUUUGUUCUAGCUGAAGCACUUGGUGAGAAGACUACAGUAAGAUUAAUAUCUGGCAUGUUUGCCAAGAGUAUCAUCUUGUGGAUUGAAAACCAACGGAAGAAAAAUUAAGAAUGGAAGAUCGAGAAGAAGUUAUACUUGUUAAGUAACAAGUUAGUACAUUUACUCCAGUGUUGAGUAACAACCUUUCCCAGACAGUGCAACACUACUUAUUUGUUUUAUGGAAAAGAGAAUUGGAUUACGGAACUGCUAAGUUUCUUAAGUAUGUUGGUUGUGCAGUUUCUGAAGUAACGCCAUAAGGACCAUGAAAUGUGUCACGUGAGUCGGUUUUUGAUGACUUGUGAAUGGAAUGUUUCUGGGUAGAGAAAGAUUCGAUCAAGAAAGAGUUUUAGUAGACCCUGAGACUAUGGAUGAGUCUCCUCAAAGUAUUCAGGUGAUUAAGUUAACCUGAAGUAACCAGGAAUGGCAAAAGAGAUCAACAGAUGGAUAUGCCACUAAUCAAGUGUGUAAGGUAAAUGGUUUGAUAUUUUUGGAAAUUUCACCAUGAACAGAAAUAGUAAGAUUCAGAAAGGGAGACAAGAUAAGUCUUGAACACAUCAGUCCGUUUUGAUCAUUAAAGGAAUCGACGAAGUUGCAUACAAGUUUGUGAUGCCUUCAGAAUUGGCUAAGGCACAUAAUGUAUUUUGUGUUUGAUGCGUUGUCACUAGGUGGCAGAUUUGUCACAUGGGAUUAUGGUGUAACUAUUGAGAAUUAAAUUGGAUUCGACUUGAUAAGGAACCAAGGACGACUUUGGAUUGGAAAAAGAAGGUCCUGAGAAUUAAGACAGAGUAAGUAGUAAAAGCUUUGUGAAGGAAAUCAUUCAGUAGAAAAGUAUGUGGGAGAAAGAGAAUCGGAUGAGAGAGAUUUACCCGAAGCUAUUGUUGGAGUAUGGUUGAUUUAGUUGGUUGCUGGAAUUUCGGGGACGAAAUUCUAUAAGGAGGGGAGAUUGUCACAGCCCGUUCCAAAAUAUUACAUUCGUGGCUGUGAAUGGACGAAAUUGCCCUUAAGAAAUACUAAGUAUGUGAAGCUCAAGUUGAUAAUUAUCUAAGUUCCUAAGUUUUGAAAAUAAAAUGGAAUUUAAUAAGGAUGGAACUUAGAUUUUUAGGUUAAAAUUUUGUGGUUUAGAGUUAGGGAUUAGAAAAGGACCACGUGGGAUCCCCAUUCCUUAUUUCCCUCCCCAUUUCCCGUAUACUGUCCUUCACACUCUCUCUCUCUCCUCCCUCACGAUUACUCUCAGUUCUCUCUCCCUCUCCUUCGAACUCACACGGACCACCACAAAACCACCUAAAACCUAUACCAACGACGAAUCUAACACCACCAUUGGAACCCUGAAGACUUCACGAUCACGAUGGUAUCCAUUUCAAGUAAGUUUUGCUUCGGAAAACCCUAGUUUCAAAGUUCCCGUGAAAUGGUACUGUUCAUGAUCUUUUAAAUGGUUACGAUUUAGGCUAAAACAAGAUCACAGCGAGCUUGGUGAGGUCCCAAGGAAGCUCGGAGUGCUUCGUUGGAAGUUUUUGGACGUAAGAACACGGAGAUCGACAAGUUCAAAGUUUGGCCGGAGCUUUCGAGGCUUUUUCCGGAGAAUACCCGGCGAGUUAGGAGUCGAGGUAGGUAUCAAUAUCUUCGUCUCGUCAAGUACUACAACUUUCCUUUUUGUUUCACUCAAUUUAGUUGAGUAUUGAAGAAGUUAUACUCAUUUGAAAAAUACCCAGUUUCCGGCGACCUCCGAGGCUUUCGAGGCAGUUUCCGGCCAAACCACGGCGAACUAGGUGUUGUGCAAGGUACCAUUCUCUUUGUAUAUUCCAGGGCUACAACUUUCGUUUUUGAAUCACUUGAUUUCGUUGAGAAAUGACAAAGUUAUGGCAAUUUGAAAAACUGCCCAGAAAACGGCCGCCGGAAAAACCAGUCCGGCGACCCAAGGAAGAAGAAGGUGCUACAGUAAAAAUAAAAAAUAAAAAUAAAAUUAUUUUAAAAAUAUGUCGACGUCCGUGACGUCGAGUAGAUCACUGUGGUAUAUUCAUAUACCUAAAUUGAACACCGUAUGAGAAAGUUAUUGAGGAUUGUUGGUUAGGUGUUCAAAUAACGUUUUAUAGUUUUCACAUUUAGGUGAAAAUGUGAAUUGAUGAUCCGACCGUUGGAUCAUCACCAAACUUUGAUACGUUGUAAUACGUAAUAUUUGAGGAUUAUUGGAACUUACGGAUUGGGAAUCCGAGUUACGGAUCUUCCGGAAUUGGAAUUGUAAGUCCAUAAUAUAAAAUGUUAACCGUCACUUAGUUUUGGAAAUUGACGGAGAUCCGACCGUUGGAUGGUAAUGAAAUUUUAGGAUGUUAUCCUAGAGAUAUAUUGUGGACCUCUGGAAGUUAUGGAUUUAAAAUUUGAGUGGCAGAUCUUCCGGAUCGAACUACGUAGUGACGUAUUUUAUAUAAGUAUAUAUAUCUAUCGAUAUGAAUUCUGAGGUUGGAUUUGAUUACUAUUCUAGGCGGCGAUCGUCGUGACGCCUUGAUGUGUGGUGCUAGGGAGUUGUUGGACGAACUCCAGGUGAGUGGGCAGUUUUGUUUUCCGUAUAUAUAUAUAUAUACUUAACGUUUUCCCAGAAAUUGAAAAUGCAUGAAAUUAUGUUUAAAAUGAAAUGCAUAUGAGUUAUGUGGAAAAACGGGAAGUGAAAUACCAUGCAUAGAAUUGAUAUGAAAAGUAUAUAGAAAUGUGAGUUGAAAUGCCAUGCAUGAAUUAAUAUAUGAUGCAUAUGUAUGAAUUGGUGCGGUGGACGCACAGGUAAGAAUUGAUUUAUGAUGCAUAUGUAUGAAAUGGUGCGGUGGACGCACAGAUGAGU